RNAcentral lists this long non-coding RNA (47734 nucleotides) under Setaria italica (foxtail millet). RNAcentral's name for it is "long non-coding RNA (SITA_LNC002643)". The record is from RNAcentral. Lineage: Eukaryota; Viridiplantae; Streptophyta; Magnoliopsida; Poales; Poaceae.
GAAUUUCCUGCAUCUUUGUGCACUCUUUACCACUUGCAGAUCCUUCUGUUCAGUUACAGAGUUCAGAGUUUGCCUAAGAAACUAUGCAAUUUAAGUAAGUUACUAAGUUUUGAACCAUAUCGUGAAGGAUCCUACAGGAAAAGACUUUAUGCAGAGCUGCCUCAAAUUCCUUACAUAGGCAAGCUAACUUCGCUGCAAAAUCUUGAAGAAUUCCGUGUGCAAAAGCAGAAAGGAUAUGAGCCGCGACAGCUGAGGGACAUGAAUGGGCUUGGUGGCUGGUUAUCUAUUACACAUCUCGAGAAUGUCACUAGAAAGGAUGAAGCUGCAGAGAUGAUGCUGCAUAAGAAAAGAUAUCUUGAACAUUUGGAACUUAUCUGGAGCAAUGAGAGUGACUCGCAUGCUGAGGAUAGUUUACAUCUGGACAUUCUAGAAGGUCUGAGGCCACCGGCUCAAUUGCAGGGCCUUGCAAUCGAGGGUUACAAAUCUGACAGAUACCCAAGCUGGUUACUAGAGGGUUCAUAUUUUGACAAUUGGACUUGUUUGGACUUCAUGAUUGCACUGCGUUAGAAGGUCUACCACUCAACACCGAGGUCUUUAGGCAUUGCUCCAGACUGGUGAUCUGGGACGUACCAAACCUGAAGACAUUACCUUGUCUGCCAGAAGGCAUGGCAGAUGUAUCAAUUAAAGGAUGCCCGCUGCUUAUGUUUAUCUCCAGCAACGAGAUGAGAGAACAUGAUAAGAGAGAAAAUAUUGUGAUGCCAGAGCAAUUGGUGUCUCAGCUUUGCUUGAUCUGGGAGUUGGAUUCAGGAUCACAUCCAGUGAUUAAGAGCAACCUUCAUGAAGAACAUUCAUCUUUGAAGCAACAGACGCCAUUGGUGGAUGCUGAUAUAUCCCAACAUCUUCAGACCAUCAGCGGGACCCUUGAACAAGAAAAAGAUGAAGUAUAUGAUAAAGAAACAGUCAUCAAGGCAUGGUUAUGUUGCCACGAACAGAGAAUAAAACUCUUGUACGGGACUAAUAUUGGGCAACAGUUGCUUCUGCCAUCAACUCUGGGUAACCUUUAUCUUUCUUCAUGCAGUAUUACAAACGGCGCUUUAGGAGUUUGCCUAGGCAGCCUCACUUUACUAAGAGAACUGUCGUCUAUUUGAGGAGUGGGAAAUGAUGUUGUUGCAGUUGCAGUUCCUGUCUUCAUCAGGGAUGGCAAGAUCGUCGGCCGCUACGUCGGCUCCGGCAAGGGCGAGCUCGUCGGCGAGAUCCUCAGAUACAACGGCGUCAGGGUCACCUACUGCAGCCAACAAGCCAACAGGCCCCCCAGUCUUCAAUCUCAUUCAGCAGCACCAACAAUACACACACAUGAAUGGAGAACAGUUUGAAAAUUGAAGAUACAACAUGUAAAAUUACGGCGACAUCAAUCGAUGAUUGGUCGAUGUUUAGAUUGUUUAUUGGGCACCAUUACCAUAAGUGUAUGUUACUCAGAGUAUUAUUCUAUACUAAUAGUACAAUUUUGGAGUGCUAACAGCUGCUACUCUGAAACUUUGAUCUAUCAGCUUGCUUCUCCAGUUUCUCUUGCAACGAGUUUACAGCGACGCAGUGACUUUUGUAUCUCUUCAUACAGACGAUUCUAACGACCGCAAUGACUUUUGUACGUCUUUGUACAGACGAUUCUAACGACUUGGCACUUGCGAUGUUAUCCAGCAAUGGCACAGCCAGACAACACAAAAAUUUGUUUCAAAGCAGGCCAGGCCACGACACACCUACGGUAGAAUCCAAAUACAACAACGGUCUGUUCAACAAGAGGCCAGGUACACCAAACAUUUGUCAAACCCAACUAGAAGCUCUGAAUAUAUCGCAAACAUCCAUUUUCCAGAGGCCAAACUGCAGCUGGGGAAUUGCAUUGUCCACCAGUUUACACUGCAUCUCGAGCUUUAAGUACUAUUUAAUCAUUCUCGAUGAUUGCUCACAUUUUUCCUGGACAUUUCCACUGCGGCUGAAAUCUGACACGUUUACCACACUUGCUGACUUCCUUUCCUACGUGUCCAUGCAGUUUGGCGCCACCAUUAAGGCCGUCCAAUGCGACAACAGUCGUGAGUUUGAUAACUCCAGCGCCCACACGUUCGUCCUCUCCGUGGCGCCACCUCCGCAUGUCCUGCCCGUACACGUCGCCGCAAAACGGCUGAGCUGAGGUCAUUCGUAUAACGAACAACAUUCUUCGCUCACUCCUUUUCCAGGCAAGCCUUCCUCCCCCCGCUAUUGGGUAAAAGCUCUACAUACCGCGACUUACCUUUGCUUCCCACCAAGACCCUUGCUUCCCGCACGCCACAUGAGGCCCUGUACGGCGCCGCGCCGUCCUAUGAGCACCUACGGGUCUUUGGUUGUCGUUGCUAUCCAAACAUCUCCGCCACGGCUACUCAUAAACUCUUGCCUCGCUCUACCGCGUGCAUCUUCUUAGGCUAUUUAGCUCAUCACAAAGGGUACCGCUGCCUUGGUCUCGGUUCUAACCGUAUCAUCGUCUCUCGACACGUCACAUUCGACGAGUCAUUGUUUCCCUACGCCAAGAUAUUCCCACCAUCCCCACCGGCGGCCUAUGAGUUCUUGGAUGACGACACUGACAUCAUGCUGUUCCCUAUGCGAACGACACAACUUCCUUUGCCUGCAGGUCCUCCUGGCGUUAUCGACGCUGCUCCGGUGCCCCUCCUUGCUGUUGGAGGUAUGCCCUAGAGGCAAUCAUAGAAAUGAUGAUAUUUCAUUUGUAUCCAUGAUUUAUAUUAUUUUCCUUGAAUAUCCAUUAAAGGUUACUUGAAUUGAUUUGCAAUUAUGUGAAUUGUAUGUGAAACUUUUUACUUGUAUGGUUAUUCUAAAGUUGUCCCUAGUCGGAGUUCAUGUGAGGACACACAUGAAUAUUAGACUAGUACAUGUAUUAGUUGAUGACUAUGUUUCACAAGUCAUGGAUAUAGAGAUGUCAAACUAAUAAUGUAGGCACAUGUAGAGACAUGUGCUAGGACUGACCCAACAUGAGAAGUAGUUCUCUCUUUACACAACAUGUACUAAAGAUGUGGAUCGACUUACUUAGGGGCUAUCAAACACUACACCGUAACAGGGUAGUUAAAAAGGUAGCUUUCGGGUUUGUCAAGAAGCAUGCUGUGAGACAUGGUCAAUCAAGAUGAGAUUUGCCCCUCUCUGACUGAGAGAGAUAUCUCUGGCCCCUCGAGUGAUCAGAUCGAGAAAUGCAUGGCCAUGCUACGUACGGUUAAGAGUUAACUGACAAAGGGAUUCCGAGUCAUAGGAGCAAGAAAGAGUGGUCGGCUUGGAGCUAGACCAAAUAUCGUGAGGCAAAGGGAAUAGCAUGUACGUGAUGUUGUGAUGGUUCGUCUGAUAUAAUCUUCGUGUGCGUAUAGGAGUUGGCACGUCUUGCUAGAGGCCGUUACCGACUAUUGGGCUGAGUAAGAGUACUCGGGUCAUAUCUAUACGUAUCCGAACCAAUAGGGUCACACACUUAAGGGGUUGGAAGUCCAAUUCGGAUCAUCAGGUUUAGGAGUACUAAUGGGCCUCGGACCUAGAGGCCCGUCAGGAACCUCUAUAAAUAGAGGGGUGGGGGCGCCCUAGAGUGGACACCUUUUGACCGAAGCAUAGCCGCCGCGCCUCCCAUACCCUCGCCCUGUUGCAACUCGCGGACCUAGCAGUCCAGCUUGCGGCGUUUCCUCCCUGCACGUGUGGAUACCUUGGAGGUGUUGCACCUGCGGCACUUGGACGAGCCACGACGAGCCGACGACGAGCCGCGACACGAGAAGGAUCUUGCUGCACGUGGACGAGCUGCUGAGGAGCUGCUCGACAUCGAUGUGAUCGACUACGUGUUCAACUACACUGAUCGACUUCGUUGCCCCGACGCGAUUCUACAACUUCCGUACUUGUGCGUCGAGUGGUAAUCCCGUGAUUCAUAUAUGACAGUUUUCCUGGUUUACAUGGUAGAAAAAUUAUUUUUGCGCCAGCGUAGCCUACCUCGUAUCCCAACACUUGCACCACUCGGCACCGUACCGCCGGCUCCAGCUGCCGCGUCAUUGCCACCCAGCACCUCCUCGACACCACCUGGCAGCGGCCCGCGGCUGCCGCUGUUGGGCGACACCGUCGGCGCAUCCCUGCGCCCCCUGGCGCAGCCGUCGACCCGCCUGGCAGAGGCCUGGCGCUGCCGCUGCUGGGCGCCGCCACGGGCGCUGCUGCUGGCGCUCACCCGAGCGCUGCUGGGGGCUUGGCGCCUCUGCAGUGGUCCUUGGUGCUCCAUCAGGUGCUCCUGCUCCCCGUGCCGCAGGCGCCCCAGGCGCACCCAUCGGCGCCUCCACCACACAGUCAGGCGGAUCCCCUGGAGCACGGCCUCCAGCCUUCCUCCCAGUGCUGCGGAGCCCGCCCGGCUUCGAUUCAACGCCCCUGCGCUUCGUGUACACUCGUUGCUCCGUCGCCUCUCGUCUGCUGUCACCGCCACCGGCCUGUGAUGCCGGGCCGCCACCUCCGGCACUGCCUCUUCCCAAAGGAGCCAUUUCCGUCCAGCCUGUCGUCAACCAGCACGGCAUGACGACCUGUGCUAAGCUUGGCUUCCGACAGCCUGCCCUGUUCCACACUGCGCCGCUGUCGCCAGUUCCGAAGACAUUCCGCAGCGCCCUCGCUGAUCCAAACUGGCGGGCAGCUAUGGAAGAGGAGCACGCCGCACUUCUUCGGAACAACACAUGGGAUCUUGUGCCUCAUCCCGCUUGUGCCAAUGUCGUCAACUGGUAAAUGGAUAUUCAAGCACAAAUUCCAUUCAGACGGGUCUCUUGAGCGGUACAAGGUCAGAUGGGUUCUUCACAGUUUCACUUAGCGCCCUGGAGUUGAUUUUGACGAGACCUUCAGUCCAGUCGUCAAGCCUGCUACUGUCCGGACAGUUCUCUCAUUGGCUCUCUCUCGACACUGGCCUGUGCAUCAGCUAGAUGUCCAGAAUGCAUUCCUCCAUGGCACCCUGUCUGAGACAGUCUACUGUGCUCAGCCUGUUGGUUUUGAGGAUCCAGCUCACCCUGACUUCGUCUGCCGCCUCAACAAGUCUCUCUACGGCUUGAAGCAAGCUCCUCGCGCCUGGUACAGUCGGUUCGCGGCUUAUAUUCAGUCUAUUGGUUUCGUGGAGGCCAAGUCAGACACUUCGCUGUUUGUCUAUCAUCGUGGUGCUGAGACUGCAUAUCUUCUGCUCUAUGUGGAUGACAUUGUUCUCACGGCCUCAUCGACUACAUUGUUGCUGCAGAUUAUACAGGCCCUACAACGAGAAUUCUCCAUGAAGGACCUCGGAUCUUUGCAUCACUUCUUGGGAAUGCGUGUGCAGCCAGCAGCCAGUGGAGGAUUUCUAUUGACACAACGGCAGUACAUGCUGGACAUCUUGGAGCGGGCAGGCAUGGCUGAUUGCAAGCCGUGCUCCACACUUGUCGACACCAAUCCCAAGGUGUCGACAACUUCUGGUGCUCCCAUCACCGAUGCUUCGGAGUUUUGCAAUCUCGCCGGCGCCUUGCAGUACCUCACUUUCACAAGGCCAGAUAUUGCUUAUGCUGUUCAGCAGGUUUGCCUCCACAUGCAUGAUCCACGGGAGCCUCACCUUGCUGCCCUGAAGCGCAUUCUUCGGUACAUCCGCGGGACUUUGCACCUUGGCCUUCAUCUGCGACCGUGCUCAGCUCAGGAUUCCUGGUGGUUUACUUUGAUGCGGAUUGAGCAGGCUGUCCCGACACACGGAAGUUAACUUCCGGAUAUGCGGUCUUUCUUGGCGACAAUCUAAUUUCUUGGUCUUCCAAGCGACAGCCAAUCGUCUCCAGGUCCAGUGCCGAAGCUGAGUAUCGCGUCGUGGCCAAUGCAGUAGCCGAGGCCACCUGGUUGCGCCAGUUGCUUCAGGAGCUCCAUACACCACUUCGCCACAUGUCCCUGGUCUACUGUGACAACGUCAGCGCGGUGUACAUGUCCUCCAACCCGGUUCAGCAUCAGCGCACUAAGCACAUUGAGAUCGAUCUUCACUUCGUUCGGGAGCGCGUGGCUGUUGGGGAUGUUCAGGUCCUUCACGUUCCCACGUCGUCCCAUUACGCCGAUGUCUUCAAGGGGUUGCCAUCUUCUGUAUUCACAGAGUUUCGGUCCAGUCUAAACGUUCGUGGUCCCAACGCUUAGACUGCGGGAGCGUGUUAGAAUGUAUAUGUGUACUUGGGCGGCAGCCCAGCUAGGCCCACACGACUGGCUCCCUGGCUGAUACCUGGCGCACCAGGACUCCAAGCGCGGGGUGCUAGGACUCCAAGGGGGCUGCCACCAGGGUUGUAGAUUGGGCGAGGCUAGGACCCUCGCCUAUAUAUACACACACACGCGUACGUACGUGCUAUGCACCUCCAUAACUACUUUCACUUAGACAGGGACGGAAAGGUUCUCGGGUUCCGCCGCUUCUCCUCCACCCACCGCGCCGCCUGCCUCCUCCCACGCACGCCGGGGUUCUCCUCGCUUCGUCGCGUCUGAUCAAUCACGCUAGCUGCGCUAGCUAGGAGGUGAGGCGCGCGCUGCUUCCUCCGCCUCCGUGUGGGUGGAUAAUACGUCGCAUCCAGCGAUCCGGUGUCAACGAUUUGCUCGUCUCCCUCGUUUUAAAAACGUUUUUUUCAUCCUUUAAUUUGGUAACUCAGCAGAGCUAUUCCCCUUCCGCCGGCGGGGAGGGGAUCGAUCGGAUACACGAUGGCGGCGGCGCCGGUGAAUGUUUCCCUGCAAGGGCCUGCUGGCUGCCCGACGACCUUCCUCUCCGCGAGGAAGCCGCGGAGCGCCAGCUUCGUCCGCUUCCCGCGCAACCAUCCUCUGCAGCAGCGCGGCGGCGUCUUCCCGUCUCUAGCCUGGAGCGCAGGCGGCGACGACAGACGGCGCAGGAGGUUGAAAGCCCAGGUACAUGUACAUAGCAGGAGUUCCUGAACUCUGCAGGGUUCGGACUGCCGUCUCCUUGCUUUUUAAUAAAUGGUGGUUGAUUAGAGUAUCUGCAUUACUGACAAGAUUGCUUUCAUAAAUCAUUUGCAUAUAUUCUGUUGCCCAUAUUGUCAGAGUAGAUCAUUGUUGAUAAACGAUGGAGGACUUGAUCUACAAUUGUUCCAGCAGUUGAAUAGGGGCCUUUGAGUCCUCUAAUUGUGAUUUAUGAUAAAGGCUAUAUAUACUGCCAUGUAUUUUUUAAAUUUUUUAUUUUCAUAGAUUCUGACAAUAAGAUAUUUACAUAAGACUGUUUUUCAUGUACGAGUAUAGGAGCCGGACCAGGUGCCGCGAAGUUGCAAACAGUUGUUCAGUGAUGCAGAUUUUGUUGAUCCUCGGACACCAACUUCUUACAUCGAUGUCCUCAACAAGUUAAGGCUACGCCAUCCAUCGGUACCAUUUUGAUCUCUCUCUCUUCAUCUUUGUACUAAAUUGGGCAAUUAAGUAUGCUAGCUGUUUCCAUCAUGGUAGCCCUUUGUUUCGUGCAUUAUGCUACAACUAUGAAUGGUUAACGCUGAAUUUUACUAGAAUACUUGAAUUUUUCAUAUGCACCAAUGUAUUGUCAACUUUACAUGUUUGAAAAAAAUGUAAAUUAUAAGCAUUCGUAUUUGUGCACAAUAGGCAACAAACCAUACUGUAGACACAAGGAGAGUUUUAGUUUUUGUAUGUUAAUCUGAUAACAUUAGCCUAAUAAGGCACAAAUUCAAUUGCUUAGAUGCCUUUUGUAGUGUCACGAAUUUAACUGCACGAUAUGUUUUAGUCACUGCAGCAGAAACUAAUGCGUGAAGAGGACGAGCGGUAUGAAAAGGCUCUACAGAAGUGUGCUAGAAACUUUGUGGACGGAAUCAUACAGUUUGUUUCAUCAGAGAAGGAAUACUACAAGUUUAUUAUAAUUGCCUGCAAAGAAAACACCAACAUGAUCGUGGAGCUGGUAUUCUCUUGAUACUUUUUGUUGAUACCUUGUAAAGUUACUUUUUUUUCCCUAUAUUAUGUGCAUAUUCCUUGGACAAGGAAAGAGUGAUUUAGUUUUGAUUUAGUUUCUUUUGUCCGUGAUGGCUCAAUGUUUCAUUAGGUUUACUUCCAUUAAUAGUAGUCCCUCUGUUUUAUAGAAAUAAAUAAUGUUCAGGACAAGCUAAUUAGUUUGUUGUCCUAAUUGACAAAGUAGACUUACAUCCUGUACAAUACCAAAAUCAUGCCUUAUACAUAUUCUGAAAUCUUGUGUUCUAUUGGUACUGAAAUUUCAUCUUGUAGUACUUCCUGUCAAUUUGUUAAAACUGAGGCAUUAAUCAUGUCUUUUGGGGUCCAGAAAAGCCAACUUAGCCAAUUUCUUUCAUGCGCUGGUGCUGACCCUACUACCUGAGAAUCUCAUACUGUUUCUAUGAUUCUACAUUUUUUUACAGGGUUUCAUAUCUUGUAAUAACCGAGAUGACAUUCUAAACGGUCUUGAAAGAAUAGAAGAUGAUAUUGCAAAAGGAAGGUUUGAGUGGAGAGAAAAUAAAGAUGUACGAAGUAAUAUUGUUGAAGCACUCAUUGAAAGAGUUGGAGAACCGGCAAGAAAGCUCGAUGUAACAAUAAGUCAAUAUGUUCAAAAGCUAACAAUCCUCCGAUUAUGGUUCCACAACUCUACAGAUACAAUUCUUACUCAAAUAGAACAGCUUCAGGUUAACCUAUGCAGCUAUUCUUGUAAACUUGUUUCUUUUGUUUCUAUGAACUUCUGCUUCCUGCAUUGCGUAUAAUUCCAUUACCGUUACCAUUAGUUUCUUGUUACAUCUAGGGAUAGCUGAACUAUAUACUUUUCAUGCCCUACUGUGCUAAUGAUAUGAAAUAGCACCUUGUUUUUUGGCCUAAAAGCAAUUUGGAUUGCUAGCUUUUAGAAUUUGGUUUAUCUAACUUCAUCACUAUUCACACUAUCUGAGAAGAAUAUUUGCAAUACUAUGACAUCAGAUUAUAUGAGAUAAUUUCCUCACCCUGCAUGAAUAAUUAAGUAAUCUUCUUAACUUCUCUUUGACGCUUAAUGUGGAAAUUACUUAGUUGUUAGUCCUUGUCUAAUAGGAUGCAAUUUUUAUGAAUUAAAUGUUGUGCAGUUAUAGAGGGAUAGACUAGUUGGGUGGCUUAUCAAGUGUCCUCAAAUGCAACCUUUUGCCAUGUUACAAACAAACAAGUGCAAUUAUAUCCAUGUCCUGAAUCUGCAUGGAAGAAAGAAGUUAAAUAUACAUGCAUUAGACAGUAAUGGUUCUAUAAGAAUAAUAUAUGGCGUCAAAAAUAGAAAUUGUCCCAUUGUUGACAUUAUGAUGAAUUAUUGGGUCGUCACAAACUGAAGGAUGCUACUGUAUUUGAUACCACAACUCAUGAACAAUAAUUUUUAUUUAAGUUUCUUCUGAAGUUCUGAAACUGAAUAUGAAAUUUCUGUUUAGUGCUAAUUUUAUGCAUGAUGACAUCCAACUUUGGUUCACUGUGAAUAUUAUAGGUUGAGCUGGUUUUGCUAGCACUAAGAAAUUGGGAAUUUGUUGUGCCUCUCAUUUGUCGCCGUACUGAUUGGAUUCUACUUGGCGAAUUUAUAUUGUCUCAAGUUGAGCUGGUAAUUCUCGUGUAUAAAGAAACUUUGAAUGUUGUUUUACUAGUCGGAGUGAAUGGAAGACUCGCACAUAUUUCUAUACUGCCCUGAUGAUAUUGACAUCUGUUUAAUUUAUGCAAACUCAAAUAGUAGUCUAAAUUACCUAUAACCACUUAAACCAUAGUUCAUUUACUUUGUGCAUCCAGGGGCGGAUCCAGGGCCCGGGCUGCAGCCUGGGGCGAGACCAUGGAGUCCCUUUAACCUAUGUGCUGUUUAGCCUAACAAAAUGAGGCUUAGGAGACAAAAUUAGACUAUUUUAGGUGUGAUUCAACAGCUCAGCCCGGGGCGCAGCCCCAUUCUGAAUCCGCUCCUGUGUGCAUCCAUUUACUUCAUUUACCUGCAACCACUUAUACCAAAAUGUGCCUGCUCUGCCCUGAUGCACCAGAUACAUUUUGGUACUAAUAGGUACUUUUCCAGUAGUGGGCAUCCUUUCAGGUUUCAUAAACUGUAAAGGCAUAAACACAUGUGAGCCUCAUAAACUCACACCAUAUUUAAGGUAUAUGGGCUCAUUUUCCCACAAUAUAUAUUCAACUCAAAAGUUUACCAUACUUGUGAUUUAUGUAUUGUUUAUGUCAACAAUAAAUCUUUAUUCCAUCUUGUUGUCUUCCAUGCACAAGGAAAACCCUGAUGUGAUAAUUUGAUGUUAAACAGCUGGAAAGUGAUGUUUCUCGACUUCGUAGCUGCAAAAAUAUGAUUGGUUCUACACUACACAUUACCUUCCCUUUGUCCAGCAUUGAUGGAUGUCUAGACAGGUUUGAUUUGCUUCCGAAUUCUUCCUUCUUGGAACUCUUUUCCCCCUAUGACAGUUGAGUUUUGAUAGUUUAAUCUCAUGUGUUUAGUACAGUGUAUGUAUGUUACACAUAUUUGCUCUUUUUCUAAGGAAAUUGCACUUUUUAGAUCAUCUUCAUUACAUUAUUUGGAAUGCACAGUUGGGCUUUUAGCCUACUCCAUCCAUCUUCUAUGCAUGCUUAUUUAUUUUCGUAGUGUUCAUGUUUGUCACGAGAGUACAUUACCAAAUGCACUCAACUAUACUGACUACUCUCUCUGUUCCAAACUAUAAGGUGGUUUUGGCAUUUCAAAUUUCAUAGUUUGUGGAUGAUCUAUGAUCCCUUUAUGUUUGUGGAUGUCCACCCAUGAUUCUUAUUUAAUUUUGAGGAAAUUUUGCCGCUUGAUGAUUCAUAGACAGUUGUCAUGCUGGACUGCUUACACAUGGUUAUAUAUUGGUCAGACAUUCACCUUCUAUAAUGUAUGUCUACUUCUGAAUUAUAAUGUAUGUCAUACAUUUUUAUUUGUUACUUCUCUAAGAAAACUGCACCUCCAAGGUUGCACCUCCAAGGUCAUCUUGGUUAUGUUAUUUUUAUAAAUCCCUUGUUUGUCUUGGAAUGUUAAUUCAGACUUUUAGCCCUUCAUCAUAUUAGCAUGCUCGUUUGACGUUUACCACAAGAGCACAGGAUAAGACUUAGUUCAAUCUCGAAAUGCAAGUUUGACUUGUAGAAGCAUAUGUACGGCAGAUUAUAUGUUGAGAAUACAGUUGUGCAUCAAGGAAACAAAUGAGCACUCUAAACAAAGUUCUGAGUGUCUCAUGUUUUAACUGGACUUUGACCAACAUUUGAACAAAUCUCUGUUUGAAUUCUUUCUAGUAGUUUGUGGAUUUCCACCCAUGAAUCACUUGCAGAAAUUUAUCCCCUACCCAAUGAACUUUACUUUUCUCGGAUUCGUGAACAUUCAGACUGCUGAUACACACUUAUAAACAAUAGUUCAAACACUCUGUUUUUUAUGGAUGCACUGUAUAUAUCAUCUAGUUUAUGCUUUAUUAAAGAAGUAAUUAUGUUAGUACUGCUCUGCAUUAUUCACCUCAGUUUUAGUGCAUAAUUUUUUUAGGCAAAGUUUUAGUGUAUAAUUUGGACUGGUCAUUGUGCAUUCCAUGAUACUGAUCCGUUAUUUCUAGAAUUUUUUAAGCUAACCACGAUACUUUUUGUUUAUACCAAUUUUUAUGUUUCAUCUAAGUACUUUGUUAGCUUGGAAACUGUUUUAUAAAUUUAACUGAGAGCUACUGUGUUUGUCUAGUUUAACAUUAUUUGAUUUGAUCUGGAACUACAGCAGGUUGUCUGACGAGGGCUCAGAUCUGCUACAAAAUGCUAUUGUAAAUUUUGCGAAUAUCAUUAUUGGUGACAUUGCCAUCAAUCUUGCUACUCUCGAAAGAGGAAUCAGUUAUUGGAGUAGUUUCCGAUUCUUAACAUCAAAUGAUAGGGUCAAGGAAAGUGUCUCACUUCUGGGAAAGCAUGUUUCAGAUCUUGAUAAGUAUACUGCCACCAAAGAAAAUUCCCUGACUUCCUUUCACAUUCAGGUACAGUAGCAUAAGCAUCACGUCCCUUAAAAAUUGUCAGCUUCUACUGUCUACGCCUAAUGGAGAUUGUUAUUAUUGGAGCAGGAUCCUUUCCAACGAUUUGUGGCUGUCUAUGUAAUUGUUCAACAAAUACUGAAAGUAACUACAGAUUUUGCAAAAAAUGCAUCUUUCAAUCAUGAAAAGGUUCAAAAUUCGCCAUCGAAUUGUUGUGUCAGGAUUUCAAGGUUUUCAGAUUUCCAUACUGUCAAGGUAAACUUUUAAUUUCGCAUGCAGGAUUCAUAAUUUAGGCGUAUUGCCUUCUGUUCAUUGCAUGCCUUGACAUUGUCACACUAAUAUCAAUUUCUGGAGUAUAUUGAUACUUUCUUGGAAAGUAUUAAUUUUUUCUGUAUUAUUUUUAAAAAUUGAUCGGGCAUUUGAACUAUGUGCAAACAGAUAUGUUUUUACAUGCAGCAUCAUUAUUUUUUUAACAGAACCUGUAGCAUUAUUAAUUUUUCUGAUGUAUUAUUUUAUAAAUUUUGGUAGAAUUUGUAUUUAAAUUUAUUUGGGGGAGACAUUUGUGAAUUUAUAGUUAAUUUUAAUAUUAGGAAAAUUGAAUUUAGAGUGACCACUUACAAUAUUAAAUAACAAGGCAUAAAUGAACAGAUACAGAUUAUUGCAACCAUUUAUUAAAAUAUGAGUCACUUUAGUAUGGGAGCUUUUAAUGACUUCUUUUUUCUAUCAAAGCAGGGUAGAGAUCCGGAUCAAAGUGAAAAGAAGGAAGAUUAUGCCAUGGUGAUUAAAGAGUUCAGAUCUCGCAGUGAUGACACAGUGAAGAGAUUGAUCGAUUGGCUGGGGGAACAUCAAACGAGGGAAAAACCAUUGAAGUUCUGCAAAUUUUGGUCAGUGUAGUGCGUGGAUUCAAGUUUAAGUGUAUUGUCAAGGUGCCGAACUGCUAUGAGAGGGAGGGAGAGAUAUUCUCGCUGUAUUCUAGGUGGAUGACCUGAUUUAUAAGUAAUAAGUACCUAGUAAUUCUUACUGCCACUGUUACUGCAACUUGUGCAAACAUUGUGGUGCACUCUCUCGUGGGUAAUUACAGCAGUUUCAUUUUCGAAAAGGAGCUAAUUACAGCAGUUUCAUGACCACCAAAAUACCAUGUUUGUCAAAGCAAUCUAAAUGCUGAAAAAGUAAUGUAGUAGAGUAGCAAAGUAGUACAUGAGACUUCGAGAGGACAAAUGCAACUGUUGCCCACCCUGGCACCCUCCCUAAGUCCCCAAAGUAGUCUGAUCAAUCUUAGGAACCACUCCCUAACCUUCCAAGAGCUGCGAAUCAGGCCCUAGAACCCUGUCCCGGACCUCCCAGCUGGUGUGCUCAAGGCACUGGAUCACCAAUUUUGAGUCCCUCUCGCCGAUGGCGGACAUGCAGUCAGUUAAUCCCACGUCUUGCUCGAACAGGGCGAUUCUCCUGUCUCUCAAGGCCUUCCCGACAUCCUGUGAUUCCUCUUGAGGCCCAGUGGGGGGUGACACCUCCUGGAAUAUGUCUAGAGCUACAGCAUACACAUGCUCCAGUGCAAGAGCAUGCUCUUCAAGCAUUCUGUAACGGAUACUGUUUUGAGUGCUGCAGUACAAGAAGAAGGAUUACAUAGUAGUUAGGCUUUGGAACAACUCGAUGACUGUAACUAAUUUGAUUAUGCGUAGAUAAAUACCUUCUAAAUUUAGUGGAUUCCACAAUUGCACUGAACUCUUGCAGGCACUGCAAUAGCUGCCAGCAAGCAAGAAAGUAUCAACAUAUGUCAGCUAUAUACUCUCACUAGAUUGUUGACUUAUGUUCUCUAUAAUAAUGAAUACGCACACACAUACCCUCUUGAGGAGCAGAGGACAAGAUUCAUAUAGUAAAGAGCGGGGAGAUGGCCUCAUCCAACCUUCAUUGAGAAUUACAACUGAGUGUAGUGUUGCCUAUGAAAUAAAAUGUGUGAGUAUAGUUGUUAUGACAAGAAGAAACGAAACAGCAAGAUUUUCACCCGGUAACUCCCACAUUGUGCAAAUAAGUUCAUGAUUAAGUAGGCGCUUCCACAAGCAGAAGAACAACAACAAAGAAAUUCAACCAGCGCAUACCAUUGUAGGAGGCAUAUCGUAUCGGAAGAAACUAGCAGAGCAUGAAAAAAAGAUGAUAUCAGUAAUUUGAAUGGCUUGUUCGAAUCAGAUGCAUCAAAUCCUUGCUGAUUCGGUUUGGGCAUUCCAAAUAAUUAAAGGAUCCGUAAUCAUCUGAUUCAAACAAGCCAUUCAAAUUACUGAGAUCAUCUUUUUUUCAUGGUCUGCUAUUGCAAGCCGACCAAACAGAAACUAUAAUUGAUCAUCAGUCGUGAUGCUAGUUCUGACACAACUGAAAAUGGGGGAGCUAUUUGCACUUCAUACUGUCCAUGAAAAAGGAUGCACUAGAGGAAUGUUAAAUACAGCACACAAAUCGCAACAUCAAAAAUCUUACUCUGCUGGUUCAGCAAUCAGCAUUCAACAACGCUUGUAGAGUAUCAUAAGAAGGUAGCAGAUAUUUACUGAUUUGGUUUAGGCAUUCCAAAAAUCAAAAGAUCCCUAUGCAUCUGAUUCAAACAAUGGAUGGCAACCAAAAAACACCAAUUCUAACCCACGAGAUCCCCUGCUCAGUUAGCAACGGUGGUCUAGGGAAAUGCUACUGCUACUACUGGACCUUACUGCCCGAUGUAUGCAGAGUUGCAGACAGCAGACCUACUGAUGAUACUGUUAACGCAGACCAAACAGAAAUAAGAGCCAAGAAGAUUGGCGAAGAGAGAACACCGAGGCGAUGUAUGGGUACCAUUAACUUUUCGAUGGCCUGAAUCAGAGCCUCCGCUUUCUCUGCACUCCACAAGAAUUGCUCGUCGUCUUUAGGUGUAGUAGCCAACAUCAGCAUGUCCAGCUUCUCUCUCCCGAUCACUGCGCGGAGUCUGCCGAGGCAUGCUUCCGUAGUCCACGGGUAGAUCCUGGCACUGGGAUCGAGCUCGCCUAUCUCCUCCAGCAACUUCCUCAGAUCGCGGCCCGACUCAAGAACACCCUGCAGCACAGAACACGCGUGAUGCGGUUGCGGAAACGAUCUGGCGUUAGAAUCGAAAAAACUCAGCGAAGAAAGGAGUAGAUGGGAAAGAAGGCGAGGACGCGAGGUGCUUACGGCAUCAAAGGAGACCUCAAAGGUGGUCUUGAGGCGGGCGAGCUCAACCCACGCGGCGAUGUGCUUCGCCGACCGCAUGUUAUCGUACGAGAGCACCAGCUGCUCAGCAGCGCGCCUGUUGUCGUCGGACGGGGACAUGUUGGUGAGAGCUCCUCCUCUCGCCACCACGCCGCAGCGGCCCUUUGACAACGACCACCCCGCUCCGGCGACUGCGGCCGCGAUGGCGCAAUCGAGCGCGUUCCCCGCUCCGCCCACGGCCUCUCCGAAGAAGUUGGUGGCGCGGCCGCCCGUGGGCAGCGCGCCCACAACGAAGGACGACGCGCGGCGCCUGGAGGAAGAGGAACAGCCCGGAGAUGCGAAGCCGAUGCGCGCGUCGGCGAACGCUCUGGGCAGCGCACCAACGAUGAGAGACCCGCGACGCGAAGCGGAUGAGGUGGAGCGCGGAGAGGCGAAGCCGGCGAACGGCGCGGGCACGGCGACGACCUCGAGGGCGCGGACUCCCGCGGGGAGGCGAGCCCCGGCGGCGGUCGAGGGUGCCAUGACGAGGCGCGCUGAGCCGAACCCCAUGGCGGGCUCCAGGAGGAGGAGGCGCAUGGCGGAGGCGGUAGAUGCGUCCAUGGCGUCGACGCUGCUGGUGGAUCGGAGGAGGAGGAGGCGGCUAGGGCGAGAGGCCGGGGAUUUCGAGAGGCGGCGUGGGUGCGGGCGGUGCCGUGCGCGGCGAGGAGGGGAGAGGAGGAGAGGGAAUGCCAGGGUAGCGGCGCGGUUCGGCGUUCUUAUGCAAGCGCACGGCGUCGCGUCAUUAGCCGGCGGAUGGUGAUUAGCCGAAGGUUUACGCUGCAUUAGCAAGGUGGUUAGCAGCUAACGUCAUGACAGGUGGGGACGCUGCAUGUCGCGGCCCACUAGUCAGCCGGCGAUGCGCUCGGGACGUGGCGCGUGGGGCCGAGAGCCCCUGCCGUUCUUUUCACGCCGCAGCUCCCACGCGGGCGCUGGGCCCGCACGUCAGCUGCUCAUCGCCAGUGCGCGCGGCUUCGGCAUGGGGGGGUCGGUGGCGAAGUCUGCAGCUGCGUGGAUUGGUUUGGGCCCCACCGCUGGCGCUCUCCAGGAGUUGGUUACAUCCUCGAGGCUCGAGCGAGCGUGCUAGCGCAACUUUUUCCUGUGGUAUACUCCUUGGCGAUCGAAACAGAGAGGCGGCAGUAGUGUGGCGUACGUGUCGGCCGGGCGGUUGCAAUUCCGAUCACGAUGAUGGCCGUUCCUUGGCGCACGUACGCAUGCUAGCUGCUUAAAUUUUAAAACCGCCUAGUCCGCACUGGCAUCAAAGUCCAAACCUAGCAUGCAUGGUAUCCAUGCUGCAUGCACACGUACCAAUUACCAAAUGCACUCUGUUCCAAACUAUAAGGUGGUUUUGGCAUUUCACAUUUCAUAGUUUAUCUAGACAACAUGGUAAAAGUUAUGAAUCUAAAACUACCAAAAUGAUCUGUAAUUUGGGACGGAGGGAGUAGCUAGUAACACAACUUAUCACCAAAUAGAGCAAUCGCACACUUAAUAAUCACGGCAAGAAGCUACUCACUCCGUUUCAAAUUGUAGGUCGUUUUGACUAGGUUUAUAGAUAUUAUUAUGUACAUAGAUAUACACUAUAUCUAGAUGCAUAAUAAUAUCUACGAAUCUAAAAAAAUAAAACGACCUACAAUUUGGAACGAAGGGAGUAACAUACAUGAAUAAGUAUAGUAACUUUAGGGAAAAUGGGACUGAUUAAUUACGGAGGCUAAGGUGAGACGAGCUGCUUGUCACUUCAUUCAGUGCAUGUGCCUAGUUGUGUCUGAAGUUCACAGCUGAGGAAACCGCCUCCAAUACCUGGUCCUAACCUAUCUUUAGUACCGAUUAUACAACCGGUAUUGAUAUAUGUUACUAAGAUUUGUGUGAUGGCGCCCUAUUAAGGAUGCGGAGGAGGAACCUGCUUAAGUUGGUGUGACCGUGUGAGUGGACGUUUUUUAGGAGCAGCUAUAUAUCCCUCUUAAUCAUCUGUACAAAAAUAUUACGGGUGCCAUGUGUACACGGAAUGACAGGUGGGACAACGUUGUGCCAGACAAAAUAUUACGGGUGCACAUUUGCGUGCUGGCACACGCGGGGGACGUGUAUAGAUUUCUAGAUGGGCCGCCCGUCCUAGCCCAGCACUAACCCGUCCUGGAUCGGCACUAAUAGGUCCGGGUACUAAUAGGCUCGAAGAGUUUUCGUGCCGGGCUAGGCUGGCACUGCGUGCUGAGGAGGUGGCCCAGACUUGGCCCGAUAGCCUUUCUAUCGGGUCAGGCUAGCCCGGUAGCUUGACGGGCCCUGCCGUGCUAGUGCCCGCCCGGCACUCGGCUCCAGGCACCCCCGGCGGGCAGCGGCGGCAGCCGCCCCCCCGCGGCGGCCCCCGACGGUGGCGGCUGGCUCCAGGCGGCCCCUGGCAGCGGCGAGCGGCUCCAGGCGGCCUCUGCGGCGGCCUCCGGCCGCUCCAGGCAGCACCCCGCGGUGCCCCCGACGGCGAGCGUGGCGGGCCUUGGCGGUUGCGAGCGGCUCCAGGCAUUCCCCGGAGGUGGCCGGCGGCUCCGGGCUCCAGGCAGCCCCCCGCAGCGCCUCCGGCGGCGGGCGUGGCUCACGGGAAGGAGGAGUGGUGGUGGAAGGGUCACGGUAGAGACCGAGAGAGGGUGGGAGGCCGCCGACUGCUCGCCUGGGUGUUGGGGGAGGGGAGGAGGGCAAUGAAUUAAGUUUUUUCCAUAUAUAUACUUGCGGGUUGCUAGCAGGCCAUCGAGCCUUAUCGGGCUGGCCAAAAAUCGUGACAAGCUCGUGCUGGCCCAACAUGUCGAGGAUGCGGCCCAGGCCCGACACUAUCAUCGUGCUGGACUGGCCUAGGCACUAUUCACCUCGUGCCGGACCCAUGCUCGUGCCGUGCUUUUUAGUGCUGGAUCUUGGGCUACCCAGUGGACCUGGCCCAUUUGGAGAUCUAUAGGGACGUGGUCGCGCCACCCCCAGUUGGGAUGCCGACGGCGCUAGCUGAGCCCGGCCACGAGGCAUCUAUCCAUCGGUGGCGCAAGAGAAGGUCGGCGCGGCGGACUGGCCUCCGGCCGCGCGCGCGGGGCAGCGCCUACACGAUCAGCGCGGAACUCAUGGUGCGAUGACGGGUGGGUCCGGUGCGGGCCACCGCUGGCGCUCCCGGACUUUGCGGCGUGACGCGCGUACACGGCACGAUCGACGCGCGCGAUGCCUGCUGGGAUCGGACGAUCGGCUGAUCCGGUUCGGACACACGGCCCCGGCUACGGCACGCACAUCAUAUAUAUCGGGGGCGCAUGCACGCGAGCAGAGAGAGCCUGGCGACGAGGUCGUCGAGAGAUCGCCAGGGAGAGCAUCAUAUCAGCAGCUACACGUACGUACGGGAAGUCGGGAACCAGGUCAGGUGGAUAUAUAACAACUUUGUUUGUUUCCCGAGCCAGGAUCGAUGCCAACCUACUAGCUGCAGGCUGCAGCUCAAAGGCAGCUGGCUUCUACCUAGACAUUACUACUCUUCGAGGUGUGAAGUCAUCACAAAUCACCAGAUCCUUCACCUAAUAAUCUAGUAUCCAAACACACUAGACGAUGUGAGAGCUCCACCCCCCUCACAUCUCAACAGCAAACACUGGCUUAUCUCAAAAGGGGAGGUAGAAGAGUAGUAAUGUCUAGGUAGAAGUAGCUAUAGGUCACGGGAGAAAAUAAUGUGGGGAUGUAACCGAAGACGAGAAAAUAACCUUCGAAUGCGUUUUCGGUCAAGAAAACGUGUGCUAUAGGUCACGGGAGCCCGAAAAUAACGACACCAUCCACCGGGGUCAAAAACGUGGAGGAUGGACUGAAAAUAUGAAAAUGGCCUCCAGACGCGUUUUCGGCUAUGAAAACAUGUGCCAUAGGUCAUGGGAGCCCGAAAAUGGCCACACCGGCCGCCGGGGCCUAUAACGUGGGGGGGGGGGGGGUGGGCCGAAGACGUGAAAAUAACCUCCUGACGCGUUUUCGGCCAUAAAAACAUGUGCUAUAGGUCACGGGAGCCCGAAAAUGGCCACACCGGCCAUCGGGGUAGAAGACGUGGGGGGUGGACCGAAGACGUGAAAAUAACAUCCGGACGCGUUUUCGGUCAUGAAAAUAUGUGCUAUACUAUAGGUCACGAGAGCUCGAGAACGGCCAUACAGGCUACCGGGGUAAAAAAUGUCAUGGACAGACCGAAGACACGAAAAUUGCCUCCGGAUGCGUGUUCGGCCAUAAAAACGUGUACUACAGGUCACGGGAGCCCGAAAAGGGCCACACCGGCCACCGAGGUCGAAAACGUCGGGGAUGGACCGAAGAUGUGAAAAUUACUUCCGAACGCGUGUUCGGCAAUGAAAACGUGUGCUAUAGGUCACGGGAACACGAAAGCAGCGACACCGGCCACCGGGGUCGAAAACAUGGGGGAUGGACCGAAAACGAGAAAAUAACCUCCGGACGCGUUUUCGGCCAAGAGAACAUGUGCUAUAGGUCACAGGAGCCCAAAAACAGCGACACUGGUCACCAGGGUCGAAAACGUGGGGAAUGGACCGACGACGUGAAAAUGGCCUUCGGACACGUUUUAGGCCAUGAAAACGUGUGCUAUAGGUCACGGGAGCCUGAAACGGCCAUACCGGCUGCCGAGGUUGAAAACGUGCGGGAUGGACCGAAGACGUGAAAAUAACCUCUGGACGCGUUUUCGGCUAUAAAAACGUGUGCUAUAGGUCACGGGAGCCCGGAAACGACCACACCGGCCACCGGGGUCGAAAAUGUGCGGGAUGGAUCGAAGACGUGAAAAUAACCUCCGGACGUGUUUCCGCCAUGAAAACAUGUGCUAUAGGUCACAGGAGCCUGGAAAUAGCCACAUAGGUCACCGGGGUCGAAAACGUGGUUGAUGGACAAAGACGUGAAAAUAACCUUCGGACGUGUUUUCGGCCAUGAAAAUAUGUGCUAUAGGUCACAGGAGCCCGAAAACAGCGACACCGACCACCGGGGUCGAAAAUGUGGGGGAUGGACUGAAGACGUGAAAAUGGCCUCCAGACCUAUUUUUGGUCAUGAAAAGUGUGCUAUAGGUCACGAGAGCCGAAAAACGGCCACAAUGGCCGCCGGAGUCGAAAACGCGGGGACUGGACCGAAGACGUGAAAAUAACCUCCGGACGUGUUUUCAGCCAUAAAAACAUGUGCUACAGGUCACGGGAGCCCGGAAACGGCCACACUGGCCACCGGGUCGAAAACGUGGGGAUGGACCGAAGAUGAUAAAAUAACCUCCAGACACGUUUUCAGCCAUAAAAACGUGUGCUAUAGGUCACGGGAGCCCGAAAAUAGCGACACCUGCCACCGGUGUUGAAGAUGUGGGGAUGGAUCGAAGAUGAGAAAAUAACCUCCGGACACGUUUUCGACCAAGAGAACAUGUGCUAUAGGUCACGGGAGCCUGAAAACAGCGACACCAGCCACCGGGGUCGAAAAUGUGGGGGAUGGAUCGAAGACGUGAAAAUGGCCUCCGGACGUGUUUUUGGCCAUGAAAACGUGUUCUAUAUGUCACGGGAGCCAGAAAAUGGCCACAACGGCCGCCGGGGUCGAAAACGUGGGGGGCGGAUCGAAGACGUGAAAAUAACCUCCGAACGUGUUUUCGGCCAUAAAAACAUGUGGUAUAGGUCACGGGAGCCCGGAAAUGGCCACCGGGGUCGAAAACGUGGGAAUGGACCGAAGAUGAUAAAAUAACCUCCGGACACGUUUUCGGCCAAAAAAACGUGUGCUAUAGGUCACGGGAGCUCGAAAACGGCGACACCAGCCACCGAGGUCGAAGACGUGGGGGAUGGACCGAAGAUGAGAAAAUAACCUCCGGACGCGUUUUCGACCAAGAGAACAUGUGCUAUAGGUCACGGGAGCCCGAAAACAGCGACACCGGCCACCGGGGUCGAAAAUGUGGGGGAUGGACCGAAGACGUGAAAAUGGCCUCCGGACAUGUUUUUGGCUAUGAAAACGUGUGCUAUAGGUUAUGAGAGACCGAAGACGUAAAAAUUGCCUCCGGGCGCGUGUUUGGUAUAAAAACGUGUGCUAUAGGUUAUAGGAGCCCAAAAACGGUCACACCGGCUACCGGGAUCGAAAACAUUUUGAGUGAACUGUUAAAUGGCCAAGCCGUAGCCAUGAGUGAACGGUUGAGCUGGCAGUGGAAGAAAUUUGCUUGGCGAGAUUCUACAGUGGUGCAAAACUGAAAUCAGUCGCUGCUCUCUAGAUAGUAGGAAAAGGCUGAAAAACUGAACCAUAAAUGACUGCAAUUCGUAUUCUCAUUUAACUUGUUUGGCUAGGAUUGUAAACUGUUUAUUAACAGACAAGUUCAGCUAAAGCCUAGAGCAAGCCUAGGUACCAGAUUGUCAAAUUACUUUAGACCCCGUUUGAAAUUUCACCAGGAUUUCUAUAGGAGUAUCUCAGGAAAAACAGAGGAACCCACGCGGAUAAGCUGAUUUUAUAGGACUUCUAUAGGAGUAUCUCAGUCCCACCUGCCGGUGUCUGUGCAUAACUAGAGGAGUGCCCUGUGCAAUUGCGAAGCUAGUAGCGAUAUAAGUGUGCAUGUACCACCGUAUCGUCCUAGUUUAUAGCAGGGGCAUGAGCAGAGGAGCCACGGUUGUUGGGUAUGCUCCGACCCCCUCUGUUGGCGACAUGAGCAGAGGAGCCGGAUGCAUCUUGGAGAUCAAGACGGGUCUCGAAGCUGAGCAGUUGAGAGUAGAGCUCAGGGAUCGAGAUUGCCUCAACUCUUGCGGUGACUGCCGGGUUGUACUCAGAGUUAAGGCUGUUGUAGAUGUGGGAGGCAAGUUCUUCAUUAUCCAUAGGCUUCCCAGCAACAAGCAUCUCAUCUGCAUAUUCUUUCAUCUUGACGAAAUAAUCAACAAUGAACAAGUUACCUUUCUUGGUAGUUGUAAGUGCAAAUCGCACAUUCAUUGUCCUGGCAUGGGUCUGGGCAGAGAACAUAGGCUCCACCUCAUCCCAUGCCUACAUCGCUGUCUUUGCAGCAACAACCUGGGCGAGGACUUCCUUCCCCAACGAUGAGAAGAUCAUCCCUAGGACCUGUUGGUCCCGGGCAUACCACUCAUACACCGGAUUUGGCAUAGCAACGACAGUGUUGUCAGCCUUCUUCUUGUUCUUCUCAACAACUGGAGCGAUGACCUUGCCGGUGACAUGGCCCUCCAUGUGCAUACUGCAUAUAGCGGUGAGCACCUGCACCUUUCAAAGCGCCUGUUUGAUCUUGGCGAGCUUCUCGGUGAUCUGGACGCCUAGCAAUGGGUUGGAGGCGCUUGAACUGGAUGCCAUGGAAUCAACCUUAAGCUCUGAUUACCACGUAAAGUUUUAUAGGUGCUAAGCAUGGGAGAAUGUCGUCCCUGGUCCUUGGAUGCGACAGUUGCGUGUUGAUUGAAGAUGUGCAAUUAUAGACACCUAGAGAUAUGCGUUGACGUCUAAGCAAACUAUACAAAAUCUCUUCAAUUCUGGUUACAACAAACUCUAUCUCCUUACAACAAACUCUAUCUCCUAGAUAGACUACAACACUGGCCAAAGCAUAUCUUGUGGUCUACGAGAACAGAUUACAAAACAUUAUAUCUCUAACACAGGGCACCGGAGAACAGAUUGUUCCGGAUCUGAAUCCGUGUCAUUUUGGGGGAUAUCACACAGGGCAGAGUGCCGGUGAAGCCGUUGUUCUGUAUCAUGACAAUGGUCAGCUUAGGGAUCGCCCACCAUACCUUCUCUGGGAACUCCCCGGUAAAGUUGUUGUCGUACGCCAUGAUGUUGUACAGUGUGUGGCAAUCCCCAAUGUUCGCCAGCAACACGCCGGAGAAGCUAUUGUUGAACACCGCGAGGAAGUACAGCUUCUUGUUGUAGCAGAGGGUGUCUGGGAGCUUGCCGGAGAGCAGGUUGUUGUGCACUUCCAGGAUGACGAGUGGCGAGUGCUUCCCGAGCUCCGGCGGGAGGGGUCCGGAGAGCAUGUUAUUGAAUAGCUGGAUCUCAAAGAGGUUGGGGAGCAGCCCGAUGCUCGGAGGAAUCGACCCGGUGAGGUUGUUUUGGUAUAAAAAGAGUAGUGUCAAGUUCUUCAUCUUGCCGAUCGCCUCCGGUAUCGUUCCGGUGAGCAAGUUCGCCGACAGGUCGAGCUCCUGCAAGUUGAAGCACGUGACCUCGGGCCCAAACCCACCGGUGAAGCUGUUCGAGUAAAGGUACAGGAUCUCAAGCUUCGGAAGCUUCCAAACCCACGCCGGGAUUUCACCGUGAAGCUUGUUGCUGUACAGAGCCAACGUGGUCAGCUCAGUGAGCGACGAGAGUUUGUCGGGGAUGCCACCAGUAAGGUUCAUCCCUGACAGCCAUAGCGUCUUCAGAUUGGUAAGUUUGUUGAACUCAUCAGGGAUCAGGCCUUGCGCGAAGGGAUUAUAUGCUAGAGUUAGCGUCCCGAGCUCGUUGAGCUCUGCAAUGGCCGAGGCCGGGUAUGUCCCGUUAGUUGAAGCUAUUAGUGUCAAGAACAAGGGACUUGAGCUUGGGGAAGACAACAAUUUCUGAUGGCACGCUUCCUGUGAAGCCAUUGGUCGACAGGUUGAGGUGCUCCAUCUCCGACGACAAUUUGUCGAUGUCGGCCGGGAGGGCACAGGAGAAGAGAUUGUUGGACAGGUCGAGGUAGCUCAGAGCCGAGCAGCCAUAGAGCACCGUCGGGAACUGGUCGGUGAGGUUGUUGUAGGAAUGUCUAGGUAGGACAGGUUCUUGAGGCUACAAAUGAAAGCUGGGAUCGGAUUGGUUAUGUUGGAAUUUGGAAAGGAGAGCUUGGUCACUCGGCCAUUGUUGCAGCUUACCCCUGCCUAGCUGCAGUAGGAAGAGUUCUUGGAAGUCCAUGAGCUGAGAGCAGAAGGGCUGCCCCAGGCUUUCUUGACAGUUAGGAGUGUCUCGUAGUCGCCGGAGUUGAUCUGCGCCAUGGAUGGCGAGCUGGAGAUGAAAGAGAGGAAGACUAGAAGGAGGAGAUAGGAGUGAACCAUUUCUGUCUGUGCUAGUGUUAGUGUGUGUGAGCUUCAGGCUCGGAUAUGGUGUGGUUCCUCAACAUGUGGACUUUUAUAAGAUGUGGCCAGUGGGCUUUUGGCGUGCGAAGAAUGGGAAAAGGAUUAACGACCCAGUCAAAGUCUUUGCGAUUGUGAGUGAAAGGUACUCUGAUUGAAAAAUUCGUUAUGAUGCACUAAUUUGGGGCCAAGAUCAUCAAUAGCUGAUAAGAGUGUAUCAAUUAUCAUCGUCCACACUGAUGACCAAGACUAGCCAUGACUUGAGGCUGAUGAACCAGGUCGCUCGUGAGAUCUGGGUGUGUGAGAACCAGGCGGUGACCGGGUGGGAAGGCGAUCUCAUGGAACACUGAGGAGCAAGGCUGGUCUGUCUACAGAUUAGAUAGAGGCUUUGUUUUCUUAGCUUCUUCUUUAUGUAGUAUCUAUAUAUGUACCACAGUCAGAAUCCAUCUGCCUUUUUCAUUUUUUUACCCUUUUUAUGAAAGAUUCUCACAACUACGCUCCUACCGGAAACAUUUCAAAAUCUGGAUCCUUAGCUUGGCGCCAUCCACGUUGACACCAAGCUUACACGUCUUGACGCCAAGGUCCAUGCGCAGCUGCUGACGCGAAUGCCGACAUGGCGAGGGCUUAGCGCCAGCCAUCGUGGCGCCAAGCUUGGCGCCGUGGAUCUUGGUGCCAAGCUUGGUACCGUAGAUCUUGGUGCCGAGCUGUUACCGUAUACAUGUUCGCGUUCGAAAUGAAACAAGUAUAAUUAUUCCGAGGAGCAUGCAAUAAACUACACUAUGGUUCAAUUGGUUAGGAUGUGAGCUUCUUAUCCCAAAGACUUAAGUUUGAACCCUAGCUCUAAUAUUCUUUUUUACUACAUUAAUUUUUUUCUCCCUCCCUCCACGACGAGCGUCUGCCCGAUCUCGUAGCCGUACGUGUCCAUGGCCUUGGCCAGCUCCUCCUCCACCGCCCGCGCCACGUCGUUCUUCUGCUCGAACACCUGGUCCAGGUUCAUGUUCGGCACGCUCGCCCAGAGAUCAUUUAGUUGCUCUCGGUACACAUCAUCCAUCACAAGAACACACGCAUACAGAAUGGAAAGAAAUCUUUGCUCAAUCAAUUGAUCGAUUACCGACCGUCGAAGACGUAGGACUGGAUCUGCUCCCGGGCGUCGCUGAGGCGGUAGAAGGCGUCGUAGGCCCUGUCGGCCAGGGUGCGGUACUGCACGGAGGCGACGACGGUGACGAAGACGUUGUCCUUGUUCUCGGUCUCGCAGCGGACGUCGAGGGAGAGGUAGCCGGAGGGCGGACGUCGAGCUGCUGGACGCGGAGGGAGAAAAAAAAUAAAAUGCAGUAAAAAAAAGAUUCAUAGCUGGGGUUCAAACCUAGGCCUUUGGGAUAAGAAGCUCAUGUCUUAACCAGCUGAACUGCAAUAUAGUUUGUUGCAUGUUUCUUGGAAUAAUUAUACUUGUUUCAUUUUGAACGGGAAUAGAUAUCGUGGCGCCAAGCUUGACACUAAGAUCCACGGCGCCAAGCUUGCGCCAAGCUUGGCACCACGAUGGCUGGCGCCAAGCCCCGUCAGCAGCUGCGCAUGGACCGGCGCCAAGGCUGGUGCCGAGACGUGUAAACUUGGUGCUAACAUGGAUGGCGCUAAGCUAAGGGUCCAGAUUUUGAAAUGGUUCCGCCAGAGAUCUAUUUGUGGUAAUCUUUCCAAAAAGUAAAAAAAAAUUAAAAAAGUCGGCAGAAUCCGUCCAGUUAGAAUCUAUACUUAUCUAGUAUAUAUAGCAGAUUGUGUGUAGAAACGAUUACUACCGUGUUGAAUCUCACAAUCUUCUUACUUGACAUGAUUCCCGACCAUUACUUGAUUCGGGUUCAGUAUACCCUGUCGACAAACAAUUAUAUUUAUGGGGGCCUGGAUAGCCGGGAAAGAAAAGAUAGCAGAAUCUAGAGGAAUUUGUGGAAGAAGACAGCAAGAACUCGAGAUAGAACACAUGGGAUUCCUAUACAAAGAAUAACAAAAUAUAGAUAAUACAAGCUUUAAAUGCUCUUCGCCAUAUUUGAAAAAGAAAUAUAAGUUAAACAAGCGCAAAUAUGUUGACAGAGCACGUUUUUGUCCCCGGUGACCGGUGUAGCUGUUUUUGCCUUCCAUGACCUGUUUUUGCCUUCCAUGACCUAUAGCACAUGUUUUCAUGGCCAAACACGUGUUCGGAGGCUAUUUUCACAUCUUCGAUCCAUCCCCAUGUUUUCAUCCCACGUGACCGGUGUUGCCGAUUUCGGAAUCCCACGACCUAUAGCACAUGUUUUCAUAGCCGAACAUGCAUCCAGAGGCUAUUUUCAAGUAUUCGGUGUGAAACCCACAAUUUCAUCCCCGGUUGCCUGUGUAGCUAUUUUUUGGCCUUCCAUGACCUAUAGCACUCGUUUUCAUGGCCAAACACGCAUCCGCAGGCCAUUUUCAAGUCUUCGAUCUAUCCCCACAUUUUCGUCCACGGUGGCCGGUGUGGCUAUUUUGGGGUCCCGCGACCUAUAACACACAUUCUCAUGGCUGAACACGCCUCCGGAGGCCAUUUUCACUUGUUCGUCCAACACCUACGUUUUCAUCCCCGGUCCCCGGUGUGGCCGUUUUGGAGCUCCCGUAACCUAUAACACACGUUUUCAUAGCCGAACACGCAUCUGGAGGCUAUGUUCAAGUUUUUGGUCUGACACCCACGAUUUCGUCCCCGGUUGCUGAUAUAGCCGUUUUUGGCCUUCCAUGACCUAUAUCACAUUUUUCAUGGCCAAACACGAGUCCGGAGGCCAUUUUCACAACUUCGAUCCACCCCCACAUUUUCAUCCCGGUGACCGGUGUCGCUGUUUUCAAUCUCCCGCGACCUAUAAAACACGUUUUAAUGGCCAAACACGUGUCUGUAAGCCAUUUUCACUUGUUCGGUCAAGCCCCUACAUUUUUGUCCUCGGUGUCUGGUAUGGCCCUUUUCAGGCUCUCGUGACCUAUAGCACACAUUUUCAUAGUCGAAAACGCGUCUGGAGGCCAUUUUCACUUAUUAGGUCUAGCCCCUACAUUUUCAUCCUCGGUGGCCGGUGUGGCCGUUUUCGGGCUCCCAUGAUAGCACAUGUUUUCAUGGCCGAAAACACGUCCGGACGCCAUUUUUACAUCUUCGGUCCAUCCCCCACGUUUUCGACCCCGGUGGCUGGUGUCGCUAUUUUCAGGCUCCCGUGACCUAUAACACACAUUUUCCUAGUCGAACAUGUGUUCGGAGGCAAUUUUCACUUGUUUGGUCCAACCACUACAUUUUAGUCCUUCGUGGCCGGUGUGGCUGUUUUCGCGUUCGCGUGACCUAUAGCACACGUUUUCAUGGCCAAAAACACAUUCGGAGGCCAUUUUCACUUGUUCGGUCUAGCCCCUACAUUUUAGUCCUCAGUGGCCGGUGUGGCUGUUUUUGGUCUCCCGUGAUAAACACAUGUUUUCAUGGUCGAAAAUGCGUUAGGUGGCCACUUUCACGUCUUUGGUCCAUCCCCCAUGUUUUCAACCCCGGUGGCCGGAGUCAUUGUUUUCGGGCUCCCGCGACCUAUAAAACACAUUUUCACGGCCGAACACGCGUCUGAAGGCCAUUUUCACUUGUUUGGUCUAGCCCCUAAAUUUUCGUCCUUGGUGGCCAGUGUGGCCGUUUUCGGGCUCCCAUGACCUAUAGCACACGUUUUCAUGGCCAAAAACGUGUGUGGAGGCCAUUUUCACAUAUUCGGUCCAUCCCCCAUGUUUUCAACCCCGGUGGCCGGUGUCACAAUUUUCAGGCUAUCAUGACCUAUAACACACGUUUUCUUAGCUGAACACACAAUCGAAGGCAAUUUUCACUUGUUCGGUCCAGCCCCUACAUUUUAAUCCUUGGUGUCCGGUGUGGCCGUUUUCAGGCUCCCAUGACAUAGCACACAUUUUCAUGACCGAAAACGCGUUCGGAGGCCAUUUUCACUUGUUCGGUCUAGCCCCUACAUUAUCAUCCUUGGUAGCCAGUGUGACUGUUUUUGGUUUCCCGUGACACACAUAUAGGUCACUGGAGCUCGAAAAUGGCCACAUCGGCCACCGGGGUCGAAAACGUGGGGAAUGGAUCGAAGAUAUGAAAAAGGCCUCCAAACGCGUUUUCGGCCAUGAAAACAUGUGCUAUAGGUCACGGGAACAUCGGCCACCGGGGUUAGAAACUUUGGGGAUGGACUGAAGACGUGAAAAUAACCUCCGGACACGUUUUCAGCCAUGAAAACGUGUGCUAUGUAGGACAUGGGAUCCCGACACCGGCUGCACCGGCCAACCAGGAUGAAAAUGUAGGGGGUAGACCGAACAAGUGAAAAUGGCUUUCGGACGCAUUUUCAGCCAUGAGAACGUGUGCUAUAGGCCACGGGAGCAUGAAAAUAGCCACAUCGGCCACCGAGGACUAAAAUGUAGGGGCUGGACCGAACAAGUGAAAAUGGUCUUCGGACACGUUUUCAGCCAUGAAAACAUGUGCUAUAGGUCACGAGAGCCCGAAAACGGCCAAACCGGCCACCGGGGUCAAAAAUGUGGGGGGUGGACUGGAGACGUGAAAAUAGCCUCUGGAUACGUUUUCAGCCAUGAAAACGUGUGCUAUAGGUCAUGGGAGCCCGAAAACGGCCACAACGGCCACUGGGGUCGAAAACGUGGGGGUUGGACCGAAGACGUGAAAAUAACCUCUGAACUCGUUUCUGGCCAUGAAAACGUGUGCUAUAGGUCACGACAGCCCGAAAAUGGCCACACCGGGCACCAGGGUCGAAAACAUGGGGGAUGGACCGAAGAUGUGAAAAUGGCCUGCGUACAUGUUUUCGGCCAUGAAAAUGUGUGCUAUAGGUCACGGGAGCCUGAAAACAGCCACAACGGCCACCACGGUAAAAAACAUGGGGGAUGGACUGAAGACGUGAAAAUAACCUCCAGACCCAUUUUCGCCCAUUAAAACGUGUGCUAUAGGUGAUGGGAGCCCCAAAAUGGCCACACUGGCAAACGGCUCGAAAAUGUGGGGGAUGGACCGAAUACGUGAAAAUAACUUCUAGACCCGAAAGUGAUGUACUCCUAGGUCAUCAUCGGGGUGAGGCUGGAGAACCAUCUAUGAUCACCGGUUAUGUGUCGAGAGCAACCGGAAUCAAUGAGCCACGUGUUCUCCAGGCCUCCGACCUCAGUUUCCAUGUUAGAGUCGCUCUCCCUGUCAUCCUUCUUGUUGUUGGCAUUGAGGGCCAUGACGCAGUACCCAUCGCGGUUCUUGCCGAAGUAGAAGCAGAGGCCGUUGAAGUUCUUGCCGUCCUUCUUCUUCGCCUUGCAGUCAUCGUCCUCCUCACUUGAGGUUGAGUUGGAGUGGUCAUCUAUGUCAGAGUCAACGUUGCUGAGGGAGGCGAUGAAGGAGUGCGCUUUGGCCUUCUUGCAAUUCUCCUUCUUCUCAUGAUCGGUGUACUUCUUCUUCUUCUUGGUGUCAUCCUUAUUCUUGUGCUUGUUGUAGUCGUACCCGUUCUUGGACUUGUUCUUGUCAGGGCAGUUGGCGUGAAGUGUCUUGGCUUCCCACAGUCGAAGCAGGUGUUGUUGUUCCCUCGCCUGUUCUUGCGGUUGUCGUUGAAGCGCAUGAAUCGCCGAGUGAUCAAGGCGAGCUCAUCAUCAUCAAGAAUCUCCAGCUGCUCCUCGGACACUGAAACCAAAGAAGACAAGGCAAAUGACAUAGAAGAAGAGCUACCCAAAGACUUAUGCUGUCCAGAGCCUGACAUGAGAGCUAUACUAUUUGGAUCAGUAGGGCUCCCUUAUUUAGCUUGGAGCCUCUUGUCAACCUCUGUGGAUUUCAACUUAGCAAAGAGCUCUUCGGUAGAAACUGUCGCAUAAUUUGGUGACUCGAUGGUAGCAUCAACCUUCGUGCCCCACACAUCAUGAUCCAAAGCAUGCAGGAGCUUUAAAGCUCUAUCAUGAUUAGUGUAGGGUAGGACAGUGAUAUUUGCUUUCAUCUUGUUCACAAUAGCCAACAAAUGCUGAAACAAAGCAUCGGCAGACUCUCCAGGAAGAUGAACAAAGUUCUCAUACUCACGCUUGUAGGUCUCAAAGAGCCUAGCCUUUACCUUACUGUUUCCCUCAUGGAAACUCUGAAAUCGGGACCAAAUCUCAUGAGCAAGAAUGAGAUCCUCGACUCGGUCAAACUCAGCACGGCAAAGACUCACAAACAAAAUAUCAACUGCCUUGUUGUUGGCAUGAUACUUAUCCCUAUCAUCUUGAGAAACACGAGCAGCAGAAAUUAGAUAAUUCACAUCCUGAGUGAUUUUCCAAACCCCUACUCCCUUACUAUUAAGGUGGGCUUUCAUGUGAGUUUUCCAGUAUCUAUAGUCAGUCCCAUCAAAGUAACGUGCAGCGGUCGAGGGAGAACGCUAGAGGUCGCCAUCUUAGGUUUUGAAACCGAUUAGCGUAUUGAGAAACCUUAAAUAGCUCUGAUACCAAUUGAAGAAUCGAAACGGGCGACCAUAUGUUCGGGGGGUGAAUGGGAGCCUCAAAUAUAUCUUUCAAAAUCUUAGGCCUCUGUCCCAAAUUUAAACCCCAUGUCCAAGCAAAUGGAAGAUGAGAGAUCCACAAGCCAACUGGGUGGCUGGGUGCCUUUGAUAGGAACCAAAAGGCAUAGCGGGACUCUUGAGAAACAACUGGAAGCAAACUUCAAAGAUUUGAGACAAAACAGAGCUCAAACACCUUUGUCGGAACUUCCGAUACUCUAUCGGAACUUCCGAUACCUAUCGGAGGUACCGGGGAACUCCCGACAGAGAUUUUCGGCCGUUUCAGCAAUUAACCCAUCAGAACUUCCGACACAGUAUCGAAACUUCCCACCCUUCGGAAGUUUCCGUUGGACCUUCCGACAACAUAGAAAUCAACCUUCAUAAAGAGAGAAGAAAAAUCCGAAAGUUGAUCAAACGACCUUCCAAAAUUACAAAAUUUUAUUCAUAGCUUCCUAAUAACAUAACAAACAUAUUCCCAAAAGAUCUCCUCAAAACGAUUAGCCAAUCAAAGAGAAUUAAAUAUCUUAUGAAGAACGCUGCUUUUUCAACCCUACAACUUGAUUCGCCUCGAUCUAUGAACUCGUGAGGAGUUAGAUGAAUUCAUUUGGUGGAAAGGCUUCACUCACAUCCUAGUUCAUUUCCAAACAAUCGGUUUGAGUCAAGACUCCCCAAAAAUCACGAAUUGAACAAAAACAUGAGAAGGGAAAAGCGAGUGAAAACAAGAACGCGAAGAACAUAAGAGAUUUGCAAAAAACCGUCAUCCUCCAAUGCAACGAGGACACGAGGAGGUUAGGGACUCCAUUCCCACAACAAGACGCGGUUCAAUACAAAGAUUCGAUGCUCAAAACAUCUGAGGACCUCUCAAGUGGUUAGACCUUAAACUAGUGCUAACCUAGAGAUAGAUGGUGCUUAGAGAAGUGCUCAAGAGAUAAUGAAAGAGGUGUUGAAAACAACCAGCCCCCCUCUCUAUUUAUAGGCCUAACCUAGUUACUAAACUACCCCUACAACUUAAGACUAAGAUAACUACCCGCGUAGGGGCAUUUUGGUCCAUCUAUGUGUUCGGUCGAUCAGACGGCCACACUUCCUGCACAGACUUGCUACGCUUCGACGCAACGUUUGUGAUUCUACCAUGUGCCUCCUCAUUCCUCAUCGGAACCUCCGCGCGGGUUUUGCGGCUCAAACCCGGAAACCAUCCGCUAGUGGUUUUGUAGCCCAAACCACUAAACCCGCUCCUCGACAUGUGUCACCGCUGUCCUCGACCGCUCGACUGCCCGACCGCCAAGUCUUCUAGCGCCUUCGCUCGACUUGCACGUCCUCCGUCUUGACUUGGUCAACACGGUCACUCCUUCAUGUACACUUGCACUUGUCGAUGUCCCAAGGUGUCAGCCACCGCGGGUGAUCCUCCGGCGCUCUGGUCCCUUAGUCCAAGCCUCACGUCCGUCCUUCACCGUUCCCGGUCCAUCGGCACAGCCCUCUCUACUUGACAUUCACCUCGCCAUUGAUCACCGCCUCCGAGCUCAAACACCUCCGUAUCACAAACAAAGAGCACAUCAAACCAAUACAAUGUUGUCAACCACUCAUCAUCCAAGGGUGACCACCAUUGGUCCUCAAAAUGUGUGAUAUAGAUCACGGGAGCCCAAAAACGGCCACACGGGCCACCAGGGUUGAAAACGUGGGGGAUGGAUCCAAGACGUGAAAAUAACCUCCGGACGCAUAUUAAGCCAUGAAAAUGUGUGCUAUAGGUCAUGGGAGUUCAAAAGCAGCGACACCAGCCACUGGGGUCACAAACGUGGGGGACGGACUGAAGAUAUGAAAAUGACCUCUAGACACAUUUUUUAUCAUGAAAACGUGUGCUAUAGGUCACGAGAGCCCGAAAAUAGCCACACCGGCCACCGGGGUAAGAAACGUGGGGGAUGGAUCCAAGACGAGAAAAUAACCUCCGGAUGCAUUUUCAGCAAUGAAAACAUGUGCCCGAAAAUAGCGACACCGGCCACUAGGGUCUCAAACGUGGGGGAUGGACCGAAGACGUGAAAAUAGUCUCCGAACACGUUUUUGGCCAUGAAAACAUGUGCUAUUGGUCAUGUGAGCUUGAAAAUGGCCACACCGGCCACCGAGGUCAAAAACGUGAGGGUUGGAUUGAAGACGUGAAAAUAACCUCCAAACCCGUUUCCGGUCAUGAAAACGUGUGUUAUAGGUCACAGAAGCCCGCAAAUGGCCACACCAGGCACCAGGGUCGAAAACAUGUGGGAUGGACCGAAGAUGUGAAAAUGGCCUCCAUACAUAUUUUUGGCCAUGAAAACAUGUGCUAUAGGUCGCGGGAGUCCGAAAACGGCCACACCAGCAACCGAGUCGAAAACGUGGGGGAUGGACCGAAUACGUGAAAAUAACCUCCAGACCUAUUUUUGCCCAUGAAAACGUGUGCUAUAGGUCGCGGGAGCACGAAAAUAGCGAUACCGGCCACCGGGGUCAAAAACGUGAGGGAUGGACCGAAGAUGUGAAAAAAUGCCUCCGGACGCGUAUUUGGCCACGAAAACGUGUUCUAUAGGUCACGGGAGCUUGAAAACGUCCACACUGGCCACCGGGGUGGAAAACAUAGGGAAUGGUUUGAAGAUGUGAAAAUGGCCUCCGGACACGUUUUUGAGCAUGAAAACGGCCACACUGGCCACCAGGGUUGAAAACGUGGGGGAUGGAUCCAAGACCUGAAAAUAACCACCGGACGCGUAUUAAGCCCUAAAAAUGUGUUCUAUAGGUCAUAGGAGUUUGAAAACAUCGACGCCAGCCACCAUGGCCACAAACGUGGGGGAUGAAUCGAAGACGUGAAAAUGGCCUCCAAACACGUUUUCGACCAUGAAAACAUGUGCUGUCAUGAGAGCCCGAAAACAGCCACACCGGCCAUCGAGGUAAAAAAUGUGGGGAAUGGAUCCAAGACAUGAAAAUAACAUCCGGACCCGUGAGUUAUAGGUCACGGGAGCCGAAAAACGGCCACACCGGCCAUCGGGGUCGAAAACGUGGGGGAUAGACCGAAGACGUGAAAAUAACAUCCAAACCCGUUUUCGGCCAUGAAAACGUGUGCUAUAGGUCACGGUUAGCUCGAAAAUAGUGAUACCGGCCACCGGAGUCAAAAACGUGGGGGAUGGACCAAAGACGUGAAAAUGGCCUCCGGACGCGUUUUCGGCCAUGAAAUCGUGUGCUAUAGGUCACGGGAGCUCGAAAACGGCCACACCGGACACGGGGGUCGAAAACAUGGGGGACAGACGGAAGACGUGAAAAUAACCUCUGGACCCAUUUUCGACCAUGAAAACAUGUGCUAUAGGUCACGGUUAGCUCGAAAAAAGCGAUACCGACCACCGUGGUUGAAAACGUGGGGGAUGGAUCGAAGACGUGAAAAUGGCCUCCGGACGCGUUUUUAGCCAUGAAAUCGUGUGCUAUAGGUCACGGGAGCCCGAAAAUAACGAGAUCGGCCACCAGGCUAAAAAAUGUGGGGGACGAACUGAAGACGUGAAAAUACCCUCCGGACCCGUUGUGGUCCAUGAAAACGUGUGUUAUAGGUCGCGGUUAGAACAAAAAAAGUUAUACUGGCCACCGGGGUCAAAAAUGUGGGGUUGGACUGAAGCCGUGAAAAUGGCCUACGGUCGCGUACGAAAACGUGUGUUAUAGGUCACGGGAGCCCAAAAAUGGCCACACCGGACACCGGGGUCGAAGAUGGACCGAAGAAGUGAAAAUGACUUCGGACGCGUUUUCGGCCAUGAAAUCGUGUGCUAUAGGUUUUGGUUAGCAAGAAAACAGCGACACCGGCCACCGUGGUCGAAAACGUGGGGGAAGGAUCGAAGACGUGAAAAUAUCCUCCGGACACGUUUUCAGCCAUGAAAUCGUGUGCUAUAGGUCACGGUUAGCCCGAAAGCAGCGAUACCGGCCACCGUGGUCAAAUACGUGGGCGAUGGACCAAAGACAUGAAAAUGGCCUCCGAAUGCGUUUGCAGCCAUGAAAUCGUGUGCUAUAAGUCAUGGUUAGCCUGAAAAUAGCAAUACCGGCCACCGGGGUCGAAAAUGCAGGGGAUAGAUCGAAGACGUGAAAAUGGCCUCCGAACGUGUUUUCGACCAUGAAAUCAUGUGUUAUAGGUCAAGGUUAGCUGAAAAAUGGCGAUACCAGCCACCGUGGUCGAAAAUGUGGGGGAUGGACCGAAGACAUGAAAAUAGCCUCCGGAUGAGUUUUCGGCCAUGAAAUCAUGUGCUAUAGGUCACGGGAGCCUGAAAACGACCACACCGGACAUGGGGGUCGAAAAUAUGGGGGAUGGACCGAAGACGUGAAAAUAACCUCUGAACCUAUUUUCGGCCAUGAAAACGUGUGCUAUAGGUCGCGGUUAGCCCGAAAUCAGCAAUACCGACCACCGUGGUCGAAAACGUGGGGGAUGGACCGAAGACGUGAAAAUGGCCUCCGGACACGUUGCCAUGAAAUCGUGUGCCAUAGUUCACGGGAGCUCGAAAAUGGCCACACCGGACUUUGGGGUCCAGGAUGGACCGAAGACGUGAAAGUAACCUCCGGACCCGUUUUCAGCCAUGAAAACGUGUGCUAUAGGUCACGAGAGCCUGAAAAUAAUGAGACCACCCACCGGGCUCGAAAACGUGGGGGAUGGACCGAAGACAAGAAAAUACCCUCCGGACCUGUUUUGGUCAUGAAAACGUGUGUUAAAGGUCUCGGUUAGCCUGAAAACAGUGAUACCACCUACCGGGGUCAAAAAUGUGGGGUUGGACCGAAGCCAUGAAAAAUGGCCUCCGGACAUAUUUUCGGUAAUGAAAACGUGUGCUAUAGGUUACAGGAGCCCAAAAACGGCCACACCGGACACCGGGGUCGAAGAUGGAUCAAAGACAUGAAAAAGCCUCCAAACACGUUUUCAGCCAUGAAAUCAUGUGCUAUAGGUCACGGUAGCCCGAAAACAGUCACACUGGACACGGGGGGUAAAAAACGUGGGGAAUGGACCGAAGAGGUGAAAAUAACAUCCAAACCCAUUUUCGGCCACGAAAACGUGUGCUAUAGGUCACGGUUAGCCCGAAAACAGCGAUACCGGCCACCGGGGUCGAAAACGUGGGGAUGGAUCGAAGACGUGAAAAAGGCCUCUGGACCCAUUUUUGGUCAUGAAAACGUGUGCUAUAGGUCACGGGAGCUCGAAAAUGGCCACACCGACCACCAGGGUCAAAAAUGUGAAAAUGGCCUCCGGACGCGUCCUCAGCAAUGAAAACUUGUGCUAUAGGUCACGGGAGACCGAAAAGGGCCACAACGACUACCGAGGUCGAAAAUGUGGGGUAUGGACUGAAGAUGUGAAAAUGGCCUCCGGACACGUUUUCAGCCAUGAAAUCGUGUGCUGUAGGUCACAUUAGCCUGAAAACCUGGGGAUGGUCCGAAGAUGUGAAAAUGGCCUCCAGACAUGUUUUUGGCUAUGAAAUCAUGUGCUAUAGGUCACGGUUAGCCCAAAAAUAGCGAUACCGACCACCGUAGCCGAAACGUGGGGGAUUGACCGAAGACGUGAAAAUGUCCUCCAGACACAUUUUCAGCCAUGAAAUCGUGUGCUAUAGGUCACGGUUAGCCCGAAAACAGCGAUACUAGUCACCGUGGUUGAAAAUGUAGGGAUGGACGGAAGACGUGAAAACGGCCUCCGGACGCGUUUUCAGCCAUGAAAUCGUGUGCAAUGUCACGGGAGCCCAAAAAUGGCAACACCGUCCACCAGGGUCGAAAUCGUGGGGGAUGGAUCGAAGACGUGAAAAUGGCCUUUCGACGCAUUUUCGGCCAUGAAAUCGUGGGCUAUAGGUCAUAGUUAGCCCAAAAUUGGCGAUACCGGUCACCGUGGUCGAAAACGUAGGGAUGGACUCAAGACGUGAAAAUGACCUCCGGACGCGUUUUUGGCCAUGAAAUCGUGUGCUAUAGGUCAGGGGAGCCCGAAAAUGGCCACACUGGACACCGGGGUCCAGGAUGGACCGAAGACGUGAAAAUAACCUCCGGACCCGUUUUCAGCCAUGAAAACGUGUGCUAUAGGUCACGGGAGCCCGAAAAUAAGGAAACCGGCCACUGGGGUCGAAACAUGGGGGACGGACCGAACACGUGAAAAUACCCUCCAGACCCGUUUUGGUCCAUGAAAAUGUGUGCUAUAGGUCACGGUUAGCUCGAAAAUAGCGAUACCGCCCACCGUGGUUGAAAACAUUAGGGAUGGACCGAAGAUGUGAAAAUGGCCUCCGGACGCAUUUUUUGGCAUGAAAUCCUGUGCUAUAGGUCACGGGAGCUCGAAGACGUCCACACCGGACACCAGGGUCCAAGAUGGACCGAAGACGUGAAGAUAACCUCUGGACCCGUUUUCAGCCAUGAAAACGUGUGCUAUAGGUCACGGGAGCCCAAAAAUAACGAGACCGGCCGCCGGGCUCGAAAACAUGGGGGACGGACCGAAGACGUGAAAAUACCCUCCAGACCCGUUUUGGUCCAUGAAAACGUGUGUUAUAGGUCACGGUUAGCCCAAAAAAAGUUAUAUCAGCCACUGUGGUAAAAAAUGUGGGGGACGGACCGAAGAUAUGAAAACAUGGGGGAUGGACCGAAGUUGUGAAAAUACCCUCCGGAUGUGUUUUCGGCCAUGAAAUCGUGUGCUAUAGGUCACGUUUAGCAAUAAAAUGGUAACACCGACCAUCAUGGUCGAAAACGUGGGGGAAGGAUCGAAGACGUGAAAAUAUCCUCCGGACGCGUUUUCGGCCAUGAAAUCAUGUGCUAUAAGUCACGGUUAGCCUGAAAACGGUGAUACUGGCCACCAUGGUCAAAAACAUGGGCAAUGGACCGAAGACAUAAAAAUGGCCUCCGAACACGUUUUCAGCCAUGAAAUCGUGUGCUAUAGGUUACGGUUAGCCUGAAAACAGCGAUACCGGCCACCAGGGUCGAAAAUCCGGGGGAUGGACCGAAGACGUGAAAAUGGCCUCCGGAUGCGUUUUCGGCCAUGAAAUCUUGUGCUAGAUGUCACGAGAGCCCGAAAACGGCCACACCGGACAAGGGGGUCAAAAACGUGGUGGAUGGACUGAUAACAUGAAAAUAACCUUCGGACUCAUUUUCGCUUGGAAACGUGAGCUGUAGGCCACGGUUAGCCCGAAAACAACGAUACCGGCCACCGGGGUAAAAAAUGUGGGGGAUGGAGCCCAAGACGUGAAAAUGGCCCACGGACGCAUUUUCGGCAAUGAAAACGUGUGCUAUAAGUCACGGGAGCGCGAAAACUGCAACACCGGCAACCGGGGUUGAAAACGUGGGACUGGACCGAAGACGUGAAAAUAACCUCCAAAUACAUUUUCAGUCAUGAAAACGUGCGCUAUAGGUCACGGGAGCACGAAAACGGCCACACCGGCCAUCGGGGUCAAAAACGUGGGGGAUGGACCGAAAACGUGAAAAAGACCUCCGGACGCGUUUUUGGUCAUGAAAACGUGUGCUAUAGGUCACGGGAGCCCAAAACGGCCACACCUUCCACCGGGGUCGAAAACGUGGGGGAUGGACCGAAGACGUGAAAAUAACCUCCAGAUCCGUUUUGGCCAUGAAAACAUGUGCAAUAGGUCACGGGAGCUCGAAAACGGCCACACCGGACACGGGGGUUCGAAAACAUGGGGAUGGACCGAAGACGUGAAAAUGUUCUCCUGACGCAUUUUCGGCCAUGAAAUCGUGUGCAAUAGGUUACGGUUAGCCCGAAGACAGCAAUACCGGCCACUGUGGUCAAAAUUGUGGGGAUGGACCGAACACGUGAAAAUGGUCUCUGGACGCAUUUUGAGCCAUGAAAUCGUGUGCUAGAUCACGGUUAGCCCAAAAACGGUGAUACCGGCCACAGGGGUCGAAAACCUGGGGAUGGACCGAAGACGUGAAAAUAACCUCCGAACCCGUUUUCGAUCAUGAAAACGUGUGCUAUAGGUCACGGGAGCCUGAAAAAGGCCAUAUCGGAUACGGGGGAUGAAAACAAGGGGGAUGGACCUAAGAUAUGAAAAUGGCCUCCGGACUUGUUUUCGGCCAUGAAAUCGUGUGCUAUUGGUCAUGGUAGCUUGAAAACGGCCACAUCGGACACGGGGGUCAAAAAUGUGGGGGACGGACCGAAGACGUGAAAAUGGUCUCCGUACGCGUUUUCGGCCAUGAAAUCGUGUGCCGGUUAGCCCAAAAACAACUAUACCGGCCACCAUGGUCGAAAUCAUGGCGGAUGGACCGAAGACGUCAAAAUGGCGUCCGGACGCGUUUUCGGCCAUGCAAUCGUGUGCUAUAGGUCAUGGUAGCCCGAAAACGGCCACACCGGACAUGGGGUUCAAAAAGUUGGGGGAUGGACCGAAGACGUGAAAAUAACAUCCGGAUCCGUUUUCAGCCAUGAAAGCUUGUGAUAUAUAGGUCACGGUUAGCCUGAAAACAGCGAUGUCGGCCACCGGGGUCGAAAACGUGGGGGAUGGACCGAAGACAUGAAAAAGACCUCCGGACCCAUUUUCGGUCAUGAAAACAUGUGCUAUUGGUCACGGGAGCCCGAAAAUGGCCACACCUACCUCCGGGGUUGGAAAUGUGAAAAUGGCCUCCGAACGUGUUUUCGGCCAUGAAAACGUGUGUUAUAGGUCACGGGAGCCCGAAAACGGCCACACCGUCCACCGGAGCCGAAAAUGUGGGGGAUGGACCGAAGAUGUGAAAAUGGCCUCCAGACGCGUUUUCGGCAAUGAAAUCGUGUGCUAUAGGUCAUAGUAGCCCAAAAAGGGCCACAUCGGACACGGGUGUCGAAAACUUGGGGGAUGGUCCGAACACGUGAAAAUGGCCUCCGGACGCGUUUUCGGCCAUAAAAUCAUGUGCUAUAGGUCACGGUUAGCGCGAAAACAGCGAUACCAGCCACUGUGACAGAAAACGUGGGGGAUGAACCGAAAAUGUGAAAAAUAUCCUCCAGACGCGUUUUCAACCAUGAAAUUGUGUGCUAUAGGUCACGGUAAGCGCGAAAACAGCGAUACAUGCCACCGUGGUCGAAAACGUGGGGAUGGACCAAAGAUGUGAAAGCGGCCUGUGGACGCGUUUUCGACCAUGGAAUCGUGUGCUAUAGGUCAUGGGAGCUCAAAAAUGGCCACACCAGCCAUCGGGUUCGAAAUCAUGGGGGAUGGACCGAAGACGUGAAAAUGGCGUUCAGACAUGUUUUCGACCAUGAAAUCAUGUGCUAUAGGUCUAUUGACGUCGGUUUUUAACACAUGUCGGAGUCAGCGUCAAGAGAAGACAGGACAGCCGAUGCGGUAACGAAGAAGGCAACAGGUAGUGUAUCGGCCGAUGAGGAUACAGUGGCAUGGCCGAUCGGCCGAUGAGGAUAAUAGGGUUUGGCCGAUGGGGAGCAAGAGUAGCUUUGCAGAUGCGUGGAAGUGGGCCUGAAUGGGCCAAGGUGGUUGCAAAGGAGAAAGAGAUAAGAUUGGGCUUGAGGAUGUUUAGAUUGUAUCCAACUCAUGGCAGGUCAAGUUUGUAUAUAUAGAUUUGUUUCUUUAAAUUAGAGAUAGAGUAUCGAGUCGUAAUCGACUAGGAGUCGUGUUGUCAAAGGGUAUAAAUAGGGGCCUUGUGAGGCUUGUAAAGAUACACACAUCAAAUCAAUACAAAUCUACUAUUUCACGCAAUUUACUUUCAAGUCGGCGACUUCGCCAAUCCUUUUCCUUUUCACGAGUUCGUGCGAGUUGGCAGGACUGCAUCAACUUAAUCUCCGCCAAUUUGUAAGUUCCGCAUUUCGAAUAAUAUGUAGGCUUUGACUUCGAGCGCAUCGUUGUCGUCUCGUUUAGAUUUAUUCAGAGUUAUCGAUACUUGCUAAAAUUACAGGUUCUUACUUGUCUUUUUAGCUUUUAUCACCGGUUAUCCGGAUUGAGGCACGUGUAAUCGGCUAUUUGUCUUGUUUUCCUUUAUCUGCCUGUCACCAUACAACCGAUUUGAUCUGUUUCAAGUGUUGUUUUUGUAGCACUAUUUAGGUUAUGCUAAUCGUUUCCUUUGCAUCUGUUACAUGAUUAUCAGUUGUUCUUAGCCGAUCGUCCUUACUCUCUAUCGGCCAUCCAGCUGAUACAACCUUUAGAGCAGAUCGGAAUCCCAGCCGAUCGGCUCUCUAAAUUUAACGUUCAUCUUUUCCUUGUCAAUCAACAGGUCAGAUUGACUGGCACGCCGCACAAACCGCACCAGGGCGACACCCGAAUAGGAGCUAAGCAGAUUCUCCCGGGUCAUGUGUCCGACGUGUGAGUUGGGCUUCUGGUCCAAUUUUCGCGUCAACACACUUUUGGCACGCCCAGUGGGACCAAGAACAACAACUCAACAUGUCUUCUUCAAAGGCUGCCGAAGUCUCGAAAGACAAUGUCAUUGAUGUCUCCGAGGUAGAUCUCAAGGAUGUCCAGAGGGAUGAAGUGGCAAAGGCUAUGAAAGAAUUCAAGAAGAUGUGCUUAAAAUCCUUUAGCUACACCAGAAAUGGGGAACCCAUCAAGAAGUGCCCCCUUCCAACCCCUCAUCAGAUCACCAUCGCUGAGGACUCGGGGAAGAUGUCUGAGAUGAUCCAGCAGUUUGUUUGUCGGGCGCUGGUUGACCAGUCCGCAAUGAUGACCAACACCGUGUACAACAUCAUCAUCAGUUCGAUGGCCAAUGGUACCGCGCAGGGGUUUUGUGGACCAGCCUACGCAGCCCCAGUCUACGCGCCGGUCGGAAGCUCUUCAUCGGCACCCAACAUGUCCCAAUCAGCUUCUCGGCCCAUACAAACGCAAAGUGGAGCAUACGGCAUGGUGCUACCCCCAAAUGCUACUGUGGCGCCACCUUCACCAACUCAAUCGGCGUCCCAGUCUGCGCCGAUGUACCCCAUGCCAUCACCAAUGAUGACAUCAGCACCAUGGGGGGCAACAGGGAUUCCCACUAAGUGGAAUCUGUCCAGUGGUUAUGGGACGCCUCCGGUAUCGUUCGCUCCAGUUAUAAGGCAUCCUGUGCAAGUACUAAUACCAUCGACUCUUCAACCGACGGCUCAAUACUACCAGCCAUCUUCGUCGGAGCGUGGCGAGGGGCAAACGCUCCAGAUCCCUAUACCGGUAGGUCGUCAACUGUGAUAUAUGAUGAUGUAGCUGGCACCUUGCGGCACGAGGAGCCACCUCAGUAGCCGACAUCGACUCAUAAACAUGUGCCCCAGCCGUACCCCCUGCAGCAGACAUUGGCCAUCUAGCCGAUCGUCCUACCACAGACGUAGCAGCUUCUUCGUACUCCUCACUAGGUCGAAGAAAAUCUUUUCUUGCCCAACUUCAACAUAGCGACCACGAAUGGAUUGGGCAGACAGUCUAUCUGGGCAGAGAAUAAAUCCAAACAUGUGUCCUGAAAAAUAGACAAAUGUUAAAGAACUCCAUACAUACAAAUUGGGAAAAGCAAUAAACUUGCAAAGCCAAUCCAAAAUCUGCAAAAUGGUGAAUCAUGGAAGAUUACCUCAUCUGCAGUGAAUCUGAAGCCUUUUCUUGUGGUGCUGUUUCUGGAACUGUCACAAUUUCACACCUCUCUUCGAGUGACACAUUAGCUGUCUGGAUUUCAGCAUCUGUAGCACUAAACUAGAUUUUGCAGGAGGCGUUAACUUGGACUCCUUUGCUGAAUGGCUAACCAGCAGCUGAAGUUCUAGUACCUUUUGAGCUGGUGUUUGUAGGUAGCACUAGCUGUAUAUACAGUAUAUAUCUAGAGUGUUAGUCCUGAUGUAAAAACUGCCACUCUUCCUUUUUCUUCGUAGUGCAUUCGACAUGCUAGUACCGUAUCUGAACUGCAGGUGGCUAACCUGAUGAAUAUUCCUGUUGGCCUCCCUUUCCUGGAACUGAAACAUGAUGACCAGCAAAGCCAGGUUAGGCUCAUCUGAUCUACCAGUGUGAUGGUUGUGCCGGUGGUGCUGUCUAGGACUGCAGGAGGGUGUCCUGCAGGGGGUGGACAGGACACACUCCUGCAGGGGAUUGAGCAUUUAGGUAAUUACUUCUGGUCUUCAACCUGCUGGCUGCUCCAAUGGAGAAUGAUUGACAGGGCUCAGUUAUCUGAGUUUCUCAUGUUGAGGACUGAUUCCAUGGUCUCUCGCAGGAGAUCCUACUGUGCCAUGCUCCAGUGGCGAUAUUUGUAGCUGUCUGGAUUGCACGAGAUGAUGAUAUCUGUUCACCAACUGUUGUGUUUGCCCCCAUCCUUCACAGUUUGCUUAUGCAUUGUGCAGGUAUCGCCGCGGCACGUGAAGAAAUCCAGCCUUGGAAGGACAAUUUGCACGGGUUUUAUGCCAACCUGACCAAAAUUUUCAUGAAUUUUGAAGCAAUUUGGUUCUCGUUGAUUCGUCCAUAGAAAUAAAUUUGCCAAGAGGAAUAAACUUGCAGUUGCAAGCUGCACCUGUUUCUCAGACUCUUCAACUGCCAAGAGAUCACACCAAAUCCCACCCAACUGGCCAAAAGAAAUUCACAACCCCAGCCAGGGCAAGCAUUUCGUCAGAAUAACACGGAGAAAGAUACAUCCGUUAGCAGGCAGGAUUAAUCUCAGCCGGCCUCUAGCAUCUUGGGAACAGCAUGUAAAAGAAAGACGAUGCUCGUAUAGGAAGAAAACACAGGACAGCUACAACUGCAGCAAAGCAACCGGUCUGUCCACACCAGCCAAACAAGAUGACACACCAUCGGUGAUCUCUCCAGUUCAUAGCAUUACUUGAUGCUGUCUGUGAUGAGAUCCCAGUCCUUUUGCACUGCAACCAGACCAAAGACGCCGUCACCACCAAACAGAAUUGGGGCAAAACAUCACACUCACACCCACACAUGCAGCUGGCACUGGCAGCAUGUAUAGUGCAGUACCUUGAUCUCAAUCAGAGAAAACCCCUCCUUGGCUGGACACACCUGAACCCAAUGGAUUGUUGGGUUCCUGAUUAGCAAGUCUCUCACUUGUACCUGGCACGGACAACUUGCUAGCAGGGAGAAGAAGCAGAGGAGGUGGUGGCUGUGGAGCUAGCAGAUGUGGACAGUGACCGAUGAUGCGGCCAAUCCCUUUCAUCAAAAACAAGCAAAUGUAUUGUCCGCGUGGCCAAACCUGGUUUCGAUCGGGUGCCAAAGGUGAAAUGAGUUGGUUUUAGAAGCCUAGGACGGUCUAACCACCCGCAGUUGCAGAUGUGGUAUAGUUCAGUUAGCAUGAAAAGCACCUUUAGUUUGCAGGAGCAAUGGUAGAGAUAUCAGCUGUGUGGUUACCUGCAUGCAGCAAAAAUACAAGAAGUCAGAGAUAAGCCUUUGUAUCUAUGCUUGGAUUAAAAAAAAGGAGGAAGGAACUUCAGUGUUUGGAUAUACAUGCGUCUAUGGUUCCUCUUCUGGUUUCUGAAUGCCAUCUAGUUUAUUGCAUUGAUCGCACGUAUCACAGUUUUUCAUCUCCUGAAGAAGAUAAAGAGUUUCGUGGGGGCACCGUGCUUUCAUCUGGAUGACUGGAUGGAUCUUUUCACAGAAUGAUGGCUUACCAUUUUAGCAAGGAAUACAGCCUCCGAUGCCUCCUGAGCAUACGCAGUCUCUGAAACUGCGAGAAUUUAUAAAUGCAGGGGAACUAACAUUAGAUAUAUGCUCUUGAUACUAUAUCUAUGCUACUUUUGUUCACAGGAUUUAAUUUGUGAUGAAUAACAGUUGCCGCUUGCGGACCAGGAGAAGAAUGGUGACACGUAGUGAUAAGAUGGGUGCAGGCGAGAAACAGAGCACUUGUACAGUUGUACUUGGGUUGUGGCAUGGUGUCGGCGUUCAGCUUGCCCAACAGCAAAGCACAGCACAUACUUUACCUUAAAUUAUGUAGCUCAGCAAACACAAAAGAAUCUCCUCAAAGUGAAAGCCAUCCCAUUUCCAUCAUGAUCAGUAUGCUUUGCUCGUUUGGUUUGCAAAAGCAUAUAUUCCCUGCUUGGUGCUCAGGUUAGGUUUACUUCUCUCCCAACAUUCGGUGCUCAAUUUCCUGUGUGUUUUCUUCCUGGCAGUAUUCGGAUUAUACGGGUGCAUGCAUUCUGUCAUCCAGAAACACAUUCAUCCUGAAAGAAAAAAAGAAGAAGCGGAUAGUAGCACGGAGAGAUGGCUCAUGAAAAGCUCAUGGUGAAGAUGGCGUUGGCCAGCCUACGAUGGGUGGCAUCGCCAAUUGCCAACAAGCUCCUCGCCGACGCCUCAACCUACCUUGGCAUGGACAUGUCGCGUGAGCUCCAAGAACUGGAGAGCACCAUCCUGCCCCAGUUCGAGCUGGUGAUCGAGGCGGCGGAGAAGAGCCCUCACAGGGGCAAGCUGGAGAAAUGGCUCCAGGACCUCAAAGCGGCCUUCUACAACGCCGAGGACGUGCUGGAUGAGCACGAGUACAACAAGCUCAAGCGCAACGCGAAGCAGAGCAAGUGGGCUGCCAUGGCCUGCGGCGGCUCAUGGCCGCCGGGCCGGCUUGCCAACUUGCACCCAGGGAACAGAAGGCUUCUUCGUCAGGUCAAUGAGCUGAAGGACAUCCUGGUGAAGGCCAAGAGCUUCCGCAAGCAGCUUGGCGUCUUGCCGGCUGUGGGAGAUAGUUCACAGUCACAGGGAACUGCAACUGCAACAACAUCAUUUCCCACAUCCAAGGUGUUGGGCCGCGACAUGGAGCGCGAUCACAUAAUACAAUUUCUUUUAAAUGAUGAGGCUUCUUCUGGGUCUGGUUCAGCAAGGAUCUCAAGUUUGGCCAUUGUUGGGCUUGGAGGCAUGGGUAAAUCCACCUUGGCACAAUAUGUUUACAAUGACAAGAGGGUAGAGGAAUACUUUGGUAAAAGGAUGUGGGUUUGCAUCUCACGCAAACUCGAUGUCCGUCGCCAUACACGGGAGAUUAUCGAGUCCGCAGAAAAGGGGGAGUGCCCAAUUGUGGAUAACCUUGAUACUCUCCAGUACAAGUUAAGGGACAUUCUGCAGAAAUCAGAGAGAUUCCUGCUUGUAUUGGAUGAUGUGUGGUUUGAUGAAUCCAACGUGGAAAGGGACUGGGAGCAACUUCUAGCUCCCCUAGCUUCUAAGCAGAGGGGAAGCAAAAUUCUGGUGACUUCUCGGCGCAAUGUAUUCCCAGCUGCUCUUUGCUGCCAAGAGGUGUUUGAUUUACAAGACAUGGAAGAUUCUGCAUUCUUGACACUCCUCAGAGAGCAUGCCUUCUCUGGUGCUGAAAUCAGAGACGCGCAGUUGCGUAUGAACCUGAAGAGAUGCAAAGAAGAUAGCUAGAAGGCUUGGACAAUCUCCCUUGGCAGCAAAAACUGUGGGUUCACAGUUGAGUAGGAAAAAGGAUGUUACUACAUGGACAGCUGCUCUAAGGAGUGACAACUUAAGUGAGCCUAUGACAGCUCUGCUGUGGAGUUACGAGAAGUUAGAUCCUCGUCUGCAGAGGUGCUUCCUGUAUUGCAGCUUAUUUCCAAAAGGGCACAAGUAUAAUGGUCGGGAGUUGGUUCACCUCUGGACAGCAGAGGGUUUUAUCGAUUUGAGUAGCCAGAGCAGAAGAAUGGAAGAUAUCGGCAGCAAUUACCUGAAUGAGCUGAUCGCUUGUUCAUUCUUGCAACCAGGUUCUGAUAGAUUUGGUUUUCGAUGUUAUAUCAUGCAUGACCUCUUACAUGAUUUGGCAGAAAAACUCUCCAGAGAUGAUUGCUUCAGAUUAGAAGAUGAUGAUAUGGCAGAAAUACCCUGCACCGUUCGGCAUCUCUCAGUCCAUGUUAAGAGCAUGAAGCAGCAUAAGCAAAGUAUCUGCAAGCUACGCCAUCUGCGCACUGUUAUCUGUAUUGGUCCUCUGGUGGAUGAUGCAGAUGAUGUUUUCCAUCAGGUACUGCAGAAUCUGAAGAGGCUACGUGUUCUCUAUAUGUGCUUUUACAACAAAGAAAAAUUACCUGAAUCUGUUGGUGAGUUGAAGCACCUUCGGUAUUUGAACGUCAUUCAAACCACAAUAUCAGAAUUUCCUGCAUCUUUGUGCACUCUUUACCACUUGCAGAUCCUUCUGUUCAGUUACAGAGUUCAGAGUUUGCCUAAGAAACUAUGCAAUUUAAGUAAGUUACUAAGUUUUGAACCAUACGGUGAAGCAGGAUCCUACGGGAAGAGACUUUAUGCAGAGCUGCCUCAAAUUCCUUACAUAGGCAAGCUAACUUCGCUGCAAAAUCUUGAUGAAUUCCGUGUGCAAAAGCAGAAAGGAUAUGAGCUGCGACAGCUGAGGGACAUGAAUGGGCUUGGUGGCAGGUUAUCUAUUACACAUCUCGAGAAUGUCACUAGAAAGGAUGAAGCUGCAGAGAUGAUGCUGCAUAAGAAAAGAUAUCUUGAAUUUUUGCGACUUAUCUGGAGCAGUGAGAGUGACUCGCAUGCUGAGGAUAGUUUACAUCUGGACAUUCUAGAAGGUCUGAGGCCACCGGCUCAGUUGGAGGGCCUUGCAAUCGAGGGUUACAAAUCUCACAGAUACCCAAGCUGGUUACUAGAGGGUUCAUAUUUUGACAAUUUGGACUUCUUUCGACUUCAUGAUUGCACUGCGUUAGAAGGUCUACCACUCAACACCGAGGUCUUUAGGCAUUGCUCCAGACUGGUGAUCUCGGACGUACCAAACCUGAAGACAUUACCUUGUCUGCCAGAAGGCAUGGCAUUUGUAUCAAUUGAAGGAUGCCCGCUGCUUAUGUUUAUCUCCAGCAACGAGAUGAGAGAACAUGAUAAGAGAGAAAAGAUUGUGAUGCCAGAGCAGUUGGUGUCUCAGCUUUGUUUAAUCUGGGAGUUGGAUUCAGAAUCAUAUCCACUGAUUAAGAGGAACCUUCAUGAAGAACAUUCAUCUUUGAAGCAACUGACGCCAUUGGUGGAUGCUGAUAUAUCCCAACAUCUUCAGACCAUCAGCGGGACCCUUGAACAAGAAAAAGAUGAAGUAUAUGAUAAAGAAACAAUCAUCAAGGCAUGGUUAUGUUGCCACGAGCAGAGAAUAAAACUUUUGUAUUGGACUAAUAUUGGGCAACAGUUGCUUCUGCCAUCAACUCUGGAUGACCUUAGUCUUUCUUCAUGCAGUAUUACAAAUGGCGCUUUAGGAGUUUGCCUAGGCAGCCUCACUUUACUAAGAGAACUGUCACUAACAAGGAUAAUGACUUUAACUGCACUUCCAUCAGAAGAGGUCUUCCAACAUUUGACAGCAC